UUGUACUUUAUCUUUUUACCCGCACAUGUAUGUUGGACCACCACUAUGACUGCAGCACUCAAAUACUCGAUAUUAUAAAUUUGUUAUUAUAUACUAUCGACAGUUUAUUCAAUUUCACAAUGAAUAAUAUCUUUUGUCAUGAGCCUAAACAGCAAUUGAAUAAAGAUAAGAUUUGGAUAGAGCAAAUUAUCUAAAUACAGAAUGAAAUAAUUAAUAUAAUUCAUGCAAACUCAUGCUGAAAAACAUCACCUAUGUAAACUAGUCUACAUGUAAUACUUGUCCAUCCAGCAAGGAAUAUUAAAGAAAGCAUCAGGGAAAAGUUGAGUUGGGUCUCAUCAGAAACAGCCACAUCAUUUCUUUUAGCUAGAGAUCCCAACAACUACUAAGUUUAUUACAGCUGGUUAAUGCAAACCAAAAUGGCUGCUUAUGUAAGUAGUACUAUAAUACAUGGAACACAUAAAUCUAUGAAGACAAUAGUUUUACUAGGAGCACAUAAGCCAAGACUUUUAAUUUCAAGUCUCUUCUUAUACACAAGAAAUUAUUAUAUGGUCCAAGACUAUGUUGGUCUCAGUCAAUCUCCAUGUGACAUAUUAUUUUCGUGAAUUAAAAUAUGUAGUUACAUGUCACGCAGAGAAUGUCCAGGACCACAUGGUCCUGAAACAUGUAAUGAUUUCUCCUUAUACACCACGCCCGAGCUUGUUACGUAUCUUACUGAUAUAGUCAGAAGCCAAUCCAUCAACACACUGCUCUUUCUUUGGAUUAACAUCACCAGGGACUCUCUCUUGAUAAAUCAAAUGUUCGGUUGAUCCGAUGCUACCAGCUGACUUGAUCACAUAUGUGGGGUUGGCGCGGCUCUGUGGCUGUUGUGACCUUUUGCUUGCUGCUGGGAACUGAUCAGGAACAGCAACCAGUGGUUCCUCAUCAGGGUCCAUAUCAGACCCUGGACCAGCCUUUGUUGUACUGGUAGCUCCAAGAGUCUUCUGAGCAAUAGAGAAAGAGGAAAACCUAAUGACAUUUACUACAACCUGCAUCGAUUUCUCGCAAAGAGACAUCUCACUCUUGGACUUAAUUCUAUCCAUGAUUUUUGGCUUAACAAGUCCUUGGUGUCUCAAAAUAGAUGGUUAAUACAACAUAAAAGGCAAGCAUGGUCUAUUUAUAAGAGCAUAGGAUGUAGAUGGGUGAAUUGGUCUUUUUGGCCUUUUUUCUGGUUUCGUGUAAACCCUCAUCCAAAUAUAUCCUAAUCUAGCUAGCUUCUUUAGUGGGUGGAUCCCUUGCUCGUUCAGUUAAAUGAAGGUUCUUUUGGCAAAGAGUAGAGCCCACGUAAGACAGAAUCUUGUUGCGUUUCUUGUCUGUAUGAUGAGUGAAAGCAUGUAGUAGCACAUACAACAUCAAUAAUUGGUUUGGUGAGUUUGGUCCCUGGUUGCACCAUUUGUAAAACCAUUAAGAUUCUGUGUUUUAUAAAAUUAUCAACAGGCAAAAAGUAGAUUUUAGUGAUAGUGCAUAUGUGGCCAGAGAUUGGGGAGAUGUAAUUAAGAAUUUACCCUGUUCUUAAAUCAUUCACGUAGUUCACAUGUUGCGGAGGCUUUAUAUUUUAUUAAUUAAUAUAUUUGUGUUACUCAUAGUCUAAAGUCGUGGAGGUAUAAGAUUCUUUGAGACUGCUUCUCUCAUAGUUUGUUUCUUAAUGUUUUGUCUUUACAUUUUAAAUAACGAUUGCUCUCACCUUACUAGUGACGCUUUUGUGGAAUCAUUUCAUCAUGUUUAUCUGACUCUACUUGUCAAACAUGCAGUGAUGGAAGAAGGAGACCCAUCUUAAACAACCACAAUAAGGCAUGACCUUUUUUUAUUAGACAGAAGUUUUUAUAGAUACUGUUAUUUAGUGUGUUCCUACUUCUUACUUCCUACCCCCCAAAAAAAGUGCGCUUUUGCAGGGAAGUAAACACAACCGAAGACAUUGCUGCCAACAACUAUCUAUUUUUCUAAAUCUUAUAAAUAGAACAUUUGAUAGCUACGUGUUCAAUAGCUCACACAAUUACAAAUACAUAAGUAGGAACAAUGAUAAAAUGCAUCAACCUGUCAGUUGUGUUGCUGCAAAAAAUAGGACACAAUACAAUUUGAUGCGUGCAACUCUUCUAGAUAAAUAGUAGUAAGUCAAAUAUGCUAUACCCCUUCAGCCUCUUUUGGGCCCUGGCUAGUCAAAUAUAUUAAUGUUGACCUGAAUGGAAGGCAAAGAAAUUCAAAUCUUUUACCUUUUAAGACAAGAACUAAACCAAACUGCACAAACAUGAAAGGCCACAUCAGAGCCACUAAACAUUCUCUAUUCUGUGCAAUGAGCAUUACAAUUUACAUUUAAGAGUUAACUCUGAAAACGGAUUGGAAGGCACCUUUGUGCGAGAAGAUUUGGGUUACUUGUCUUAUUCAGGUCAUAUCUUGAUUCAUUCAUCCAUGUACAAAUUUCCUUCUUCAAUCUAGUGAUCUAGAUGAAAGCCAAGGGUUAGGUGCUACAUAAGUAUAGCCCUGGAAAUGGUCACCUGCUGUAGGUGUGGGUGCUGGCGAGUCAUCAGCAGGCAUUGCUGUCCAACAUUGGUCAAAAUUAGAUGUACAAUCUUUCGCAGACACAUCUGGUUUGAACUUCGGUUCCAGUUCUCUUGCCUCCAAUUUUUUCCAAUUGAUUGACCUAAACCAUUUAUGACUUUUGAUAUGGCCAUCUCCAUUUGGCCCAUUGCCUAACCUUGUCGAUGGAUCCUUUUGUAGCAACUGUAACAAGUAAACAGAAAUGUGCAGUUUUUAGCAUUGGGCCCCUCUGUCUCUCUCCUUACGAAGGCUUUCUUUUUUCAUUUUUAAUCUCAAACACAAAAAUAUUUAGAGAACAUCAUGUCCCAGAGCAGGAACUUUGCCUGUAUCCCUGCAUUCUCCUAUGUUCUUUUUCAUAUCCUUUGAAUGUUCACGCUUUGUAGCAAAAUAACAUCUACAAGAAUGUGGUCAUCAAUGUUUUUCUUUUUCUAGAACUUGAAAUUAUAUAAGGAAAAGUGGUUAAACUCAUUGUGCAAAUGCUUUUACUACAUUUAAUUUUGUACUUAAAGAAUUACUUUUCUAAGCAAGAUGAUCCCAUCUUUGCAGGCUAACCUGGAAAAACAUUAGAAAAUUACCGAUUCACAAACAGUUGCAGGGAAAUCAUGGUACAUUUUUCCUACUAAUUUUUAUUAGAAUAUUAAUAUCAUUUAAAAUUUAUGAUUUAUUUAAAUAAAUAAAAAAACAAAUGCAAGUGAAAUCCAAGUAGAUUAACAAUAGACAUCAGGGUCCAUUAACAUACGCAUGAAAUAAAACAGAUCUGCGUUUGAGUUUAAAAAUGUUUUGAUAAAUACAAUGUGUUUACAAAUUAUAGGAUUUGUAAUUUUGAAAAGGAGAAUUUUGAAUUAACAUAGAAUGGUUUUCAGAAAGAUACAAAUCGCAAUAUGCCUUUGAAUAUGGUAUUUGGUUGACAUAUAUUUAGUUUCAUUUUGCAAAGCCACAAUUCAAUAAGUCAAUAUAGUAUAAAUGUUAAAUUUAAAAUUUUAAUAAAUAUAACUAUCCAAAUAGAAUGUAGAUAGGAUCACUUUUGGAGUAAAGUAAACCCUGACAUGAUUUCAGCAAAAAAUCAUGAAAAAAUAGAACAUUGGCAUACAGAAAGGAUACCAAAGAAAUAUUAAGGCAGUGAAUUCAGAAAUCUAAACUAUAAAACCUUUAUGCCAUGUUUAGGAAACAAGCAUUUUAUACUUGUAAGUUGUAAGUAUACUAUAACAGGAUAGGAGAGUGUAGAGAAACAAAAAGGACGAAAACCAGUAACUGUUGUCUACUUACUCCUUUGAGCAAAGAGUGAGCUUCACUGGUAAGGAAUGGUGGAAGUUUUACUUUCUCUUUAAUAAUUUUCUCCUGAAGUUUCUUUCUGUUAUUGUGUGUAAAUGGUGCCUGCCAAAUAAAACUCACAAUCAAGAAAAACUGAAAGUACACACUUUGUAACAUAGCAAAAUCCCUUGGUAUUGGUUAAGAGAGAUUCUGCAAAGUGGUGCUAGGUUUCCUAAAGUAGGGAGCCUUCAAAUGCUGAUAGCUUCAACUUGUGCUCUUAUAUAGAAAAGAAAUGAAAUAGAAAAGGUUCCUAAACAGCAAAUAAACAGAUUCAUUCACAUACCAAUUUUGGAAAUAAAAAAAAGAAGAUUGAUUCCCAAUAAGGUCCAUGUUGAUAAAAUGCAGUUCACAACUGUUCAUUACCCUAUAAUUUGAACUUAAAUCAACAAGGUAAAAUUUAGAGUUACAUGCACCUGCUGACUCUACAAUCUUUUCACCUUUUCCCUCAUUGCAUGGGCAACUAAGCCUGCCCAAGACUUACCUAUCUUGACUCCUAAUGUUCUCUAUUCAAGACUUGAUUGCCAGAGACAUAAUGGAUUCUAAUCAUGCAUAUUGUUAUUGUAUACCCACAUAUAAUUCCAAAUAUUCAACUUCGGUUACCUACAAACAUGCACACUCACACGCACAACCAAUUACAGAUAAAUGAUGAAAGAUAUGGCAUUACCUUCCCUGUUAGCAUUUCAUACAACAGAAUACCAACACUCCACCAAUCUGCAUCCUUAUUAUGGCCUUUAGCCAGUAGGAUUUCUGGAGCCAUGUAUUCUACAGUCCCACAAAAAGAGUUGGAUCUCCCCAAUUCAUUAAUCUCUUUUGACAGUCCAAAAUCAGUUAGCAUGACCUAUACAGGCAGAGCAAAUAUUAAAGUUGAAUAAUACAACUCAGUCUUUCAAGAUAUUCUAACAGUGAACUUGACAUAUCAGGAAGAGAGGAGUGCUAACAAUACAUUUUCUAAGUCGCUCCUCCUAACACACUUUCUAUUAUUAGUUAAAAUUUAUUGAAAAAUCACAAAAUCAUAGGUGAAACUUAUUAAAUAAGAUGCAGGACCCACAAAAAAUCGUGAUUUCUAAUAAAUUUCAGCAACGGUAAAAAGUGUGUUGCUAACAUUUCUUAUCAAGAAGAUAACCACACAGGUUCAAAUACAUAUAUAGAAAAUUCAAAAUGUUCCUGCAAGAAAACAAAGCAUUUGGGGUACUGGCAUUAUUACAUGCCCAUCAGCAUCCAUAAGAAUGUUUUCGGGCUUAAGAUCUCGAUGCACGAUGCCGUUUUUGUGAAGGUGUGAAACAGCAGACACUAUCUCAGCAGUGUAAAGCCUUGCCUGAUCCUCACUACUCAACACAUACACAAAACCAAAACCAAAGCCAUAAUUAAAAUUAAAAUUCUUUUAAAUACGUAGGUUGCAAUACUUAACAGUUAACAUGAUGAAGAAAAAGAUACCUGAAGAUACCCUGACGAUACAAUUGAAAGAAGAGAUGCCCUCCAUUUAUGAAGUCCAACACCAAAUACAACUUAGAUUUGGUCUGCACAUAAACACAUAAUAAUAACAAAUUCAUUAAGUGUGUUUAUUAGUGGUUGAAGCGAGAAGGGAUGAGGGAGUGGGUUGUACUAACAAAAACUAACAAUUAAAAUUAUUUGCGGAUAAAAAAAAAAUUAUUUAUUGUAUGAAUGGAAUUGAAUUGAAUUAGGUUAGAGACCUGGAAAGAGUAACGGAGCUGAACGAUGAAAGGGUGAAGGACUUUGGUGAGAAUAUCCCUCUCGGCUUUCAUGUAAUCGACGUGGUUUUUUUUAAUGAUGGUGUCUUUCCUCAUCACCUUCAUGGCGAACACGCCAUCAGCGUCGUCGAAGCAAUCACCUUUUUUUCUGACGAGAAAGACCUUCCCAAAGGCACCCUGUCCUACAACACGAAGAAUAUGGAAAUCGGAAGGUCCAAUUUUUGGGGGGUCGGGACCAAAUGGUAAUUCUUCUUCUUCUUCUUCUUCUUCUUCUUCUUCGAGGAAGAAGAGAGGGGUGGAGGAAGGGACAAAGCGAGGAGAGGGGCCCACGAAGGAGUGGGACCUACUGAAAAUGACGUGUGGGCUUGAUGGGGAUGGAUUUGGGGAAGAAGAAGAUGAAGGGAUGAUGAGCUUGCUCAGGUUCUUCUUCUUCUCGAACGUCGACACCAUUUUGUUUAUUUUCAGUUAGUCGGUUUGGUUGGUUAUGUGAGGGAGAGAAGAGAAGAGGACGAUGCAGAUUGGUUACAUUGCACUUUGCAAUGGCAGUGGAACUUGGAGUUGUUGGAAGGAUGGGUCCACUCCUGAGAUGAUCGCAUCAAUAAUUGAUGUUUACUUCUGGUUCUCAGCCAAUAGAUGAUUUUAUAAACAAAUCGAAAUUAAAGUUAGCUUUUUCUUAUCAUAAUUUUCUACACCAACCCAUCCAUAGUUACCCUAGCCAUUUGCCCAUCUCGACCUAACAACAGUUCUCUUUCUCUUUGUAUCUAAAGACUAAAAUCAUAGCAAUUAUAAAUCUAAACAUGCCAAAGUUGGGGAUUAAGACACACAUGGAAAGGCAACCUUUGUAUCCCAAGUAACAAUUAUUGGAUGCUGCAAAUUAACACAAAAAUUAGAAAAUUGUUGUUGUUUUUAUCUUUUAUUUAUUUUUCUUAACAAUGGUGGCAAAAUUAAAACCUAAGACAUUAUACAAUUAAACAUUUUUUUCCCAUAAUUAGGUCAAUCCUAACUGUUUCUUUAUUCUUUUUUUUAGUGCUAGUGUAUAGGAAUGUUAAAAUGAACUUUAGCAUUUGUCCUUAUAGUCUUACUACAUUUUGGUUUUGGUGCUCUUCAUCUUUUUCAUGAGUGUUAUUCGAGACAAAAGGCAUUGUUAUCGACAACACAAUUAUGAUGACUCUAGAAGGAAAGAUGAUAAUCUUGUAUACCCUUGAUUGAAUAUUUAUGUAGUCCAUUGUUCUCUAUUGCCCAUGCAUGAUGAACGCUUAUACACUAAUGUUGAGUUUGACAAGAUGAAAUGGAGUGAAUGGACCCGAACAGAUAAAAGACAAUGUGUUUGGUAGAAUAGAUUAACAAUAAAUUUUUUAAUGGAUCCUACAUAAAUAGUUUCUUGUCACCUAUGACGUGAGAGAAUCCAGACUAUUGAUGCAAUGACUUUUGUAUCAUUUUAUCUUCAACAACCAAAUAAUCUAACAUUCCAUUUUAUUUUUACUCUAUUUUUCUUUUUUCAAAUUAUUUCUUUCAUUUUUAUUUAUUUUAUUUGGCUUCUCUCUACCAAACACAAGACAUAAGGAUCCAUCUAUCAAAAAUACUCACAAGACCGUUAUUCAAAAUAGGGACAUGUGAAAGGAGUUUAGGAAUAAAACCAAAGAUCAAGUGUAUGGAUUAGGAUUUAGGAACCAAAAUUGAACCUUUAUUUUUUUUUUCAUUUGCCUUAUUUUAAGUAAAACAUUUACUCAUCCAGCCAAAAAAAAGUAAAACAAUUACUUAGUCCUUGAAAUUCAUAUCAUCAGUGAAUUCAUUACUCAAUAUAAUUAGACUUCAUAUAUAACAAAAAUCCUAAGCCUGUAGUAAUCCAAGUUCACCCUUUUACUAGAUCCCGUAUAGCCAAUUUUAAGGAUCUGUUCAAACUCUUUUUCAUGUGAAAAAAAUAAAAAUACUCAGAUGGCUUCUCCAUUCUAAAGUUAAAAGGCUAGAGAGCCCCCCACAAGAGAUUAACAUUGUACUUUCAUGGAUUGUUGCUACUCGCACCCAGCAUAUUUGCCCUUCCAUAAGCCUCAUAAACAUGUGAUUUUUGUGUUAUUAACACGAUAUUUUAACCAAUUGAACUAAUAAAUUAAUUACGUUAUAAAAUAAAUAAUAUCACUAUAUAUAAUAUUAAAAUUUCUAAUAUAUAUUUAAUGUACAUAUAAAUUUAGAUAAUAAAUUUUGUAAUAAUUAAUUUCGAUCUAAUAAUUAAUUUGUUUACACAUAAAUUUUAAAUAAAAAUCAUAAAAAUUCAUAUAUGUAAACAUAUUAAUUAUUAUAUUAAAAUUAAUUAUUAUAAAAUUUAUUAUUUAAAUUUAUAUACUCAUUAAGUAUAUAUUAUAAAUUUUAGUGUUAUAUAUAACAACAUUAAUUAUUUUAUAACAUAUUUAAUCUUUUAGCUUAAUUGGUUAAAGUGUCUUACAAAAGAACAAAAUGAGAAUUAUACAAAUUAUGCUAAGUGUACCAACAAUUAUUAUGCUAAGUACACCAACAAUUUGCAUGAUGCCCGUAGAACAGUCACUUCCAUGGCAUCAAUAACAAAAGUAAAAAAUCAGAUCCAAAAUGAGUCCAAUGUACCGCAUAUUUACAUCUCAACAUCCGCCUUCAUUCAUUUUAACAGAUUAGUACGGCGAACUGAACACAAUUGAGUCACAGAUUCUAAAAUCGAUAUUCAUUCCCAACUUGAAAAAUUGCAGCAACUUAUCAAUGUACUAUAUUUUCCCCCACUUUUCCUGUUCCAUUAAAUUACAAUUGUAUACCAUGUAACCUCCGCCCCCCAAGAAUGAAAACCGGGACAAACAUCACUCACCAAUCCCACAUCUCAAGAAUAAAAAGAUACAACACCCCAUUUAAUUUCUUCCGGCCAACACAACAGAGCAUGCAGGGGCAAACUCUCCUAAAAAAUUGGAGAAUGAUAAUGGAUAAAAAAAAUGAAUAUAAAAGAUAGAUAAUACACAACCAACUAGCCUAACCAACAGACAGGACCUAAACAAAAUGGUCCUCUCUAUCACAGGCAUUUACCAAUCCUCUAUGAUACAUUCACCAUAUUCAACUCAAGCGGUCUCAAAGCUUCUUGAACUAUUUCCUGAACUGCCCGGUUACGUCGACAAACAUCAGACAGCUCUUCAACAGGAACAGUAAGUCCAUUAGUAUCCCCUCUGGAUGCUGCAUCAGAAAGAGCUUUUAAGAAUCUUGAUCGCUCUACAUCUGUAACAGCUGUUGAUGGAAUUAACAAAACACUUUUUUUUGCCCAUUCCAGUGCUUGCAUCCCAUAUGAUCGAGUUAAUGCCAAGAGUGUAUAAGAUACCUGUGGGAGGUGCAGAUGCACACAAAUUAAAGAGAUAGUUGGACUUCAUCCUGUCAAAAAUGUGAAUGAAAGAAAAUCAACGUUGACUUGAGAAAUUACCACAUCCACUCGAGAUUUAGGAAGUGCUCCCGUUAAUGAAGCAACCAAAAUUCUGGUGAUGCUGGCACCUCGAGGAAUAAUUACACUAUCUCUUAUUGGUAUAAAUUGCUCCCCCACAGAGGAAUUCGCAAGAUCAAAAAUGUCAGCCAAGAAAUGCAAUAUGGAAUUGGAAGCCUCCCUGCAGAGGAGGAAAAUAGCAAAAAGGGUAAACAGCCACACUACAUAGAGGAAGCCAUGGAGCAGCAUGAAAAUUUGUUAAAAGAUUUUUUGCCUCUACAAUAAAUAGUAAACAAAAGGAUCAAGAAUGCACGUAACACCCUGUCAAAAGAAUGGAUGAUGCUUUCAAGUUUUUUCUUUUUGUUGAGUGUGAAAGAGAGAUAGAGAGAGAUUGUACCUAUGCUGUACUGUGAUCCCAAUCAUAGAGCAAUCAACUAAUGAAGGAAAAACAGACGAGGGAAUAAACAGUUGAGGACAGUAGCGAAUACACCUUGAGGCCAACAAAAAACAAUCAUCUGCUAUAUCAGGCCGGGCUGUGAAUUCCUGCAGCAAGAAAUAAAAUCAAACAUCCAAACACAAUCAUUAGAUCUGAAAGGAAGGGCUACAGCAAAGUCACUUAAAUCACACCUGAAUAUUUGUGAGAAGGCGUGUUGUGUGCUGGAAGAGCGCCUCAAUCAAAUUUUUCAGGUAGUCAGCACAAGAUGGAUCAGAACCAAAUAUCUGAAAUGCAAGACACCAACCAUAAAAGUAAUGGGAACUAGUUCAUUGAUCACACCACAAAGGGGAAGGGGAAGGAAUUUGUAGAACCUAUAGCUGAUGAUAAUUUUUUAUACAGCAAGAAAUUUUAUUAGGAAAAAUAUUAGGGGAGUAAAUUAGUUGAGGAAACAAAGUCCACAAAGAAGCAAGAAUAUACAAGGGGAAAGAUGGAAAUAGGUAAAGCUCGUUUUUAUUGAUAUCUCAAUCAUAGAGAAAAAGCAUACAAGUAGAAUAAGAAACUGGGGGUAAUGAGAAGUACAUCUAUCAAAACUCCUUUUUAAUUUAAAAUAAGAAAUUUUAUUAGGAAAAGAAACUGCAGGAGUAAAUUAGUCAAGAAUAUGAAAUCUUAAAAGAAGUAAGAACAUACAUGUAAUAAAGAAAGGGAGAGAGAGAGAUAAAAUAAGUAAAGAACAUUUCUCCUGAUAUCUAUCUAUCAAAGGGCUCUUCUCUCUUUACUGAUAGAAAUAUAAAAGAAGUUCAAAGAUUGCAGCACAAAUCUACAAUUCUCUGGAUACUAACUAAUAGAGUUUGGGAAACUCUAAUUUCUCAUUGAUCAGAAAAUGAAAAGGCUAGUUACAAAGAAUAUAGUCAUCUCUAUAUAUAUAGAGAGAGAGAGAGACUUGAAGUCUAGCCAUAGACUAGCCCUAUUUGUUACAAACUAACUCUGGUUAGAGCUAUAACAAACUAUGAGUUAACUGACAGCUCACAGAUAAUAGAAAACAAAAUAUACAAAGUAAAAACACUUGACGGAAUAAGUAUACUCCAAUACUCCCCCGCAAGCUCAUGGUGGGUGAUUCUGAGCAGAAGCAGAAGAAUCACACACUGUGAGCUUGGUUCUGUACAAAUCAAAGUGAGUAGGAGACAGAGCCUUGGUGAGAAUAUCAGCAUAUUAAUCAAGGGCAGGAACAUAGACCACUUUCAGCAACUUGCUAAGGACCAAUUGACAAAAAACAGAUCAAGUUCCAUGUGUUUGGUUCUAGCAUGCAGAACAGGCUUAUGAGCAAGAGACACACUGCUCAUGUUGUCACAAUGAAUCACAGGAACAAUAUGUUUGACAGCAAGCUCAGAAAGAAGAGAUUGGAGCCAGGAAACUACAACAGUGACCAAAGCAAGACUUCUAUAUUCAACUUCAGUACUUGAGCACGCAACAACAGAUUGCUUCUUAGACCACCAGGAGAUGAGAUUUGGGCCAAAGAAGACACAAGCGCCAGAGGUGGACCGUCUGUCAUCUGGGUCAGAGGCCCAGUCAGCACCACAGAAGGCCGUGACAGAAAAAGGUGCAGAAGCAGGCUUUAGUCAGCAUCUGAAGGUUCACAAUGAAGUGAUGAAGACAGUGUCCACGAAUCACAGGCUACUUACAAAGAAUAUAGUCAACUCUAUAUAUAGAGAGAGAGAGAGAGAUUUGAAGUCUAACCGCCAACUAGCCCUAUAUGUUACAAACUAACUCUGGUUAGAGCUAAAACAAAAUAGACAAAGUAAAAACAAUUGACAGAGUAAGUAUACUCUAAUACUAACUAACCCAUAUUAAAAUUUAAAAUACAUAAGAGCCAAGUGUAGGGAUACAUGGCUACUAGUGAGAACACAUAAGAGCCAAAAACUUUCCUCUCCAUGACAUCAUCUAGAAAGCUCGACUGCACAUGACCAAAGGCCUUCUUAAAAUCAACUCAGAAUUUCUUUUUCCUCUUCUAAAUACCACCUACCACUUAAUUAGCACCGACAAUAAGGGCCAAAUCCAAAGUCUUCCCUGGAACAAAGUUCUGUGUGCUUCAGAAACAAAUUUCCUACACAUCUCGCUCAAACAGGCAAGAUUUCACUCACAAACUUUUAAACACUACAAAAUAAAAGCUGGUGGUCAUUACCUCAGUCCCUAACCAAGAUAAGCUGAACCUAGGCAAUGAAAGUGAUAAAGGAACCCCGUCCUUACCACUAUAGUAAAACUCCUUAACAUUUUCGAAAAAUUAUUACAAAACUAUGCUUGUAAAUGUAAGUGUAUGAAAUCAUACACAUCUUCAGUCCUUGUUUUUCCUAUUUUUAAACUGAAAUUUUGUAUUGGAUAAGAGAUUUUGUUAAAGAGAAAUGUGUAUACAAAACAGAGACAACAGGUAGCUCAUAAGUUCAACAACCGUAUAACUCUCCAAUUCUUUAGUGUAUAUAGCAUGAACACAGAUCCAACCACUUACCAUGUGGUAGCACACUAUGCUUGAGAGCACAAUCACUGACCAAAUCAAACAAGGCAUAGAAUUCCUUCCUUACCCAUAAACUAAACAACAUGAUAAGUGCACGCUCAAGCAUAGUUACCCUGUUGCUUUAUGUGUUACUAAACCAGUUUUAUAGAUAUUCUCAGUUUUCUCCCCCAUUUUACAUCAGAAAUGCAUAGGGUUUCAGAUUUGAAUCAACAAUUAAAAUCUUCCCCUUGUUGAGACAAAAAAGCACAAGGCACUUGUGUUUUUUUCUCUGACCAACUAGCAGAUCUCCAGAGUCAUUUUUGACCAACCCAGAAGAUCUCCAGCACUGUUUCUGACCACCCCUUUGUUCAUGCAUCAUAGCACAGCUGUUAGGACUUUGUUCUGUUCUUGUACAGUUGUCUGUUUUUAUUGUGUUGUUAUGCUCUUUCUGCACACUUCAGUCUAUAUUUCCUUAAUUGGUCUGCAUUUUUUCCCAACUCCUGUGGUCUUUGUUUACACAUGUGAUUGCGUUUAUUUUUUCUUACAUAAUUCCAUCUUUCUUUUACUUCAUUGCUGCAUUUUCAUUUUUUCUUCACAGCAUGGCAUCAUCCACUCAACUGUGACCACAUUGCUUUUGUUGUAACCUUAGAUUAGGGAUGAUAGUGUGUAUGUGUGCUUAGAAUUAAAUUAUGACUUUGGAUUAUUAAUUAUUAAUGUCGUUAACUGUGGUAUUUUUGGGUUUGGCCGUGUCAUGCCACGGUCAGGGAUUAAUAACCAUGAACUCAUGUUCAACUAGGGUAAAAAAGAUCUUCAUUUAAAGUUGAAAGGUAGUUCUAAGACCACCUUUACAUCCAGACUCAUUCCUAUAAUAAAAGAUAUUUACUAACAUGCACAAUAAAUUGAGCUAAAACCAUAUAUAACUUUGGCAACAAUUGGUCAUUAGGAAUGGCCAGUGGCGUAGCAAGAUAUUAAUACCUUUAUAACUUCACUGGAGAGAUAAAGAAAGCAUGGUUGGUGGUGCUGCCUAUAAAGACUCUGAAUCUCUUCCAGCAUGGCACCAAUUGUGAGCCCCAUGAACCUUCCAGAAGUUCUCACCUAGAAACAUGUGAUAAUAUAUUGCCACAUAGCAUUCAAUAAUACAAACUAAUCUUUUCAACGUUGAUAAUGCAUAGAACCAGAGUUGAGCUUGUACAGACUCUUUAAGAGGAUGAAACCACCAGGGAACUGACAUUAAAUUUUAAAUUUGUAUCACAGACAUGGCUGACAAACAGCCAACUGAAAAAUGGCUUAUAUUACAUGAUGGAAAAAAACAUAUCAUAAACAUAGUGUGUUGCGACCUCAUGAAAAUUAUGCGUAGCCAUAUGAUAGGUUGAGACAUAAAUAAUAAGCCUGGGUUGAAAGUUGAAACCACAAACAAAAAUUGCAGUAAUAUGGAAAUUUAAGAUAAAUGCCUAAUCCAAAUUGGAUGACUCAAUGCCAACUCAUGUCUUGUCAUUAUUAAUUAUUUUCUUUACAUUGUAAAUGUGCAGAUGGAGCAGAGUUAAUGGUUUAGCUUACUGCAUAUUUACAUGCUCGGCAGAGAGAUUCCAUUGUUCUCAUGUCCCAAGCACGACUGGCAUCAAUAUCAUCAUAAACAUGUCUUAGACAAGCAAGCUUCAAAAAAUAGAAGAAAACAAAAGAAGAAAUGAUAGACAUUACAUAAGCAAUUAGAGACCACUUACAUAUCAAAAAUAGCCUUAAAAAUUGGCCAUAGCCGUUGAAUAGCAUCUGCCACAACUUGAGGAUGAUUUACAAAUCUAGAAGAAGAUUCAGUCAUGCGUUCAGGAUUGUGAAAAAAUUGAGUUAAAAGGAAAAAAAGGUAGUAGGGUGCAUAGACAUGACAAUAUUAAUUAUGGAACACACCUAAAGAUGUAGGCAAAUCGAUCAAUAUGAACUGUUAACUGACGAGAAGGUCUUUUACUCAAGCUUUCUGGACCUUGAUUGAUAGCUUCCUGAUGAAGCAAAUUAUAGAAAGCAAAAACAUCAAAAGAAAAUGUAUAACUAAAAAUAUCUCUGCAGAUUGGACACUAACCUGUAAAGGAGUUAUGACUGGUAUGCAUAAUGCCUCAAGAGCUCUCUUAGCAUCAUCUGGAGGAAGUUCAGUAACAACCAUACUGCACAGAAAUUAAAGAUGUUUAAAUCAAUACCUACAAUUCAAGAUAUAAACAAUAGCAAACAAUCCUAGAUGCAAAUAUUUAAAGGAACCAAACUACCUCAAAGCUUCAACCAGAUGCAAAGAGUCUUCAGCAGGAACUUUGAAACUAUCUUCUCCAUUAACGGUCUUGUUGUAGAUGUGGAAUAGACCUUCUAAGCAUCCACAAAGCUUUUUCCGGCAGUCUGAAAUCAGAACAAAAUCAUAGAGAAAUGACUCACAUAUCAAAUACUAAAAACUGCCCAUCUCCAACUUGGCUACACAGCAAUGAUUGAAUUCUUGACCGCAUGGUCAAGAACCGACUAUCUGCCAAAAGUUUAAGCUGUAGGGUGAAGGCUUACUAACGGCUUUAUAUCUAACAAAAAUCAUAAAAUUUAAAGCAAAAUUUAAUAAUUUGAUCCAUCAAAUAUUCUGUCUGAGUUAACAGGCCAUAGCAAAAAUAAUGGAAAUAAAUUAAAACAACAUAUUCUCUGUUCUCCCCAUCCAAUAUUCUCUUUUUUAUUCAUCUUCUGAAAAAUUCCAAUCAUUACUGAUUUUAUUUGGUAAAAGCAGAUAUAAAAGUAAAAUGAGAAUGCUAGCAACACUCUCUACCGCACUCUUUUAAACACAACCUCUACCAUUGGCAGAAAUUUAUUUGGUAAUAGCAAAUAUAAAAAAUUAGAUUCCUGCAAUACUUUCUUGAAAAACAAUAAAAGCUUACUUAAAGAAGUUCAUCUCAUAAAACCACAAGUGUUUUUAUCACUGUAUGAAAAUGACGAAAACAAAUGCUCUAUGUAACACUUCAUAAUCAAAACCACAAAGUUCAGAAAUCAGAAGUUUAUUUGUUAUCAUUUAAACUGGAGUCACUCAUCUUCGCCAUGUUUGCACUGAAUACUGUUGUAACUCACCAAGCUUAUUCAUCAACAUUCCAAGGGAUAAAAAGAAAGUGCAAAAAUGUACUCAAAUAGAAGUUGACUAUACCAUCACAGAUGUGUCUAAAUGCCAAAGCAGCAGCAGCUGCACAUUCUUCAGAUGUACCCAUGCCAUUCAUUAGGAUAUCUAAAACUGAGGGCAGUACAGACAGUCCACAAGAUGCAGAAUCUAGCCAUUUUGAAUAAGCUCCAAUAGUUAAACACACUGAAAAUACAGCAACAAGACAUAAAAAGCAUUUUAUUAGUCAGGUACCAUAUAAAUUGAAGUAGAAAAUCUACAAUUUGCGUUAGAUAUAAAAUUACAAGAUGGCAAGCGGGAACUAAAGAAGUUGAUUGCGAAGAGAAUAACAUUAUUUAUUUAUUUAUUUUAAAAAAGGCAGUAUAAACAUUACCUGUUUGAAGUAAUUGGGGUUGAUGAGGAAGUUUCGGAAGCAAAGCCAUGAUCUGUAUGAAGGCAAAAAAAAAAGAAUGCAAAUAUAAAACAACUUAUGAGCUUGCAAAAAGAAUGUACUUGGAUAGUGUCACUAUACUAGCCACUGAAACAAGGGACACUUAAUUAUGCCAUUUCAGAUUGUACUAGACCCUGAACUAGGGGGCACUAAAUUAUGCAAAACAAACAACCGUAUUGGUGGUAGCCACUAAAAAAGAGUACCAACCAUAUUGACAUAUUGAAGAGGUAAAAAAAUUAGUAUUGCAGCCACCUUCAUAGUUAUUUUCAAACACAUAAUUUCCUAAUAUUAACAGCCUCCAAUCCAUCAAUGGAUCCUUCCUAUCCCAUCAAUGGAUAAGUCAUUUCAAUCCAUCAAUGCAUCCUUCCUAACCCACGAAGAAUUCUCUACCUCUCAUCAGUAGCUCCUUCUAAAAAAUCGGCCUCGUCCCCAAGGCUGAAAGUGGGAAGAAGCUUCUUCCUUAUUCUCUUCAUCCACUCCCAUAGCAAUUACCUCUCCUUCAUUUAGAGGUUCAUUAUCUCCCAAAAGGCCAAAAUCACCAACCUUAACUAUUUUUCCUUGCAUUGAAACAAAGGAUGGAAUUUCUCAACACACAAAAACAUAACCCUUUACUUUUUGCCUACAUAAAUUCUUGAUAAGUUAAAUGCCGCAGCCCUUACCUUUUCUCAACAGAAUUCCAUUGAUCCCCUUCAUUCUUCCUCCUUGUUGACGUUGAAAAGGAAAGAAGGUCUCUGUUUUUGAGGGAAAAAACUCUAAGCCACUAAACCAGAAUUCAUGUCAUUUCUCAUUCUAACUGCAACUUUGAUGAAGAUCAAGGAAAGCCUUUGGGAAAAAGCAAGAGCUUGGGAGAGAAAGAAUCUAAUUGGGCUAGGAGGCCCAACAAUAAGGGAAAGAACUAAGAAAGAAAAGGAGAUGUUGCUUAAAAAGGAGAUCAACACCUACAAGUUCAAGCCAAAAGUGAGAAAGAAGAGCCCAAGAUGCAUUUAAUCUAAGUGGAAUAACAAUGUGCCAACUAUGUGCUUGCAAUCUGAUUUGUUUUUACAUUUUAUUUAAGUAUUUUGAGUUGUUCUAAUUGUAGUAAAUGGGCUGCUCUGACACCACAUGGUAUCAUCCCCGAUAGGAAUCAUAAUGUUUUUACGGAUCGUCCUUAAGUGGAUUCGCAUUUAAUGGAAUUAAAGAGGAAAGAAAGAUAAGAAUUUGAAACAACUUCCUUAAUCCUUAUAACAAUGGCAUUCAAUCAAAGAAAGCUUGAAGCUUUAUGGAAAUGACGCACAUAUAAACAAAGGAAUAGAGGAAAGUUGUGCAAGAAUGAAAACUACAAAAUAUUAAGCACGUGAAACUAAAAAUAAACAAUUAAAAACGAAAAUGAAAAGAUGGAAAAGAACAAAAGUGUAGGGGAAGAUGCCACACCCUAUAGAGAGUGAUAAGUCCAAAGAAGGUUUGUCACAAAGGUAUGGAAACCUUUGAUAAGAACCAAGAUAGGUUCAAUCUAAGAACCCACAAGAGACACAACUCUUAAACUCACAAAAGGAGUGAAAUUCUAAUCUUAUUCAAUUCUACCCCAAAAGCAAGAGAGUACAAGGCUAUUUAUAUGAAACAACUAGUGCCUCCCUCUUAAUAAGGCUGAUGGCUAAACCUAAUUUUAAUGUUGGAAAUUGAGCUUUUUAUUAGUAUCAGAACAACCCAUUUAUUACAAUUAGAACAACUCAAAAUACUUAAAUAAAAUCUAAAAAUAAAUCAGAUUGCAAGCACAUAGUUAUUCCACUUAGAUCAAAUGCAUCUUGGGCUCUUCUUUCUCACUUUAGGCUUGAGCUUGCAGGUCUUGAUCUCCUUUUCAAGCAACAUCUCCCUUUCUUUCGUAGCUCUUUCACUUAUUGUUGGGCCUCCUAAGCCAAUUAGUUUCUUCUUCUCCCAAGCUCUUGAUUUUUCCCUAGAAGGAUGUUCCGUAAAAACAUUAUGACUCCUAUCGAGGAUCAUAUCAUGUGGUAUCUAGAGCCCGGAUCCUAGAGUUGAUAGUGUUCUUCUGUUUUUCCUUAUUUCACCAUUCUGAAUUGUCUUGAUCAUGUCAUCAACUAAUCAUAAUGGUGUCAUUUAUUGCCAUUAAUUAUCAUUUCAUGCUGUUUUUUUUCUUCUGAAUCUGUGCAAUUAUUUUGGCAAUCAUGCAUUUAUUGUCAUUAUAGCAUCUCAAUAUGAAAUCUAAUAACUCCUAUUUGUUGGCCAUAUUAAUAAUUUGUUACAAGGGCAAAACAAAUAGGGGUAAAAGAAAAAAGACUGCCCCUAGCACUUAAAGAAGUUGUUGAAUAUCUUUUGGGUUUCUAAAUUAGAUUUGUAUGUAUCAUUACUAAAUAUUUUUUCCUUGUUUUAGAAGUCAGCAGACAUAGGCUAGGCUAAGCUGUCACAUAGACUAGGCUGGGCUAUCCUUUCCCCCUUUCUCUCUCUUAUGCUUUGUACUCUAUAAAUUGUAAGCUGAAACAUGCCCUGUGAGUGAAAUUUCCUCACAUAUUUAAAUUCAAGUUGGCAUCAGAGCGGGUUCCGGCCACCAUCGUCGCCGCUGUCACCGUCCGCCACCUCUAAUCACCAUUCGCCGCCUCUGGCCGUCGUCUGCCGCUGCCGCACUCCGACUGUCGGAAUCCCGCCGGAAUUGUCUCAAACGGCGCAUUUUUGCUUUUGGGUCAAAAAUGACUUCUUUCAGUCCUGUUUUUUCAUUUUCUGAAACCCCAACCAUUACAACUGCCAAGCUCAACUGGAAAAAUUAUUUGUCGUGGUCUGCUUCAGUUGAGUUGUGGUUUCUUGGUCAAGGGUAGCAUGACCACCUAGAGAAAAGCGUCAAUGCUGUUCCAAACGACAAGAAACCUGAACGGGAGAAGCUAGAUUAUCAACUAUGUGUUGUUCUAUGGCAAUCAGUCGAGCCAGAUGUUUUGGAGAUUCUCAGAUCUUUCAAAACAUGUCACCUUUUCUAGAAGAAGGCCCAAGAGAUCUUCGCCAACGAUAUUCAAAGCCUAUUUGAUGCGACUGUGAAAGUUACAGCUCUCAAGCAAUCUAACCAUGACAUGAUUGCACAUAUGGGUAAAGCUCGGGCAACAGUAGAAGAGCUGAGAAGGUUUCUUGUGCCUGAUUCGUUGGAAGAGGUGAAUAGGAAACUGGACAAGUUCUACAUGGUCCUUAUCUUGAGGAGUCUACACUCAGAUUUUGAUCAUGUACGUGAUCAGGUCCUGGCUAAAGAUCAAGUCCCAUCAAUGGAUUCUCUCAUUACUAGGCUUCUCUGUGUAGCUCAUGCGUUGAAGGAUGAAAAUCUCACUGAAGUUGUGGAAACAUCAGCCAUGGUGGCACCUCGUGGGAGAGGGGGAGGCCGUAACAGUAGAGGAGGCCGCAAUGGAAGGAGUGGACGUCCUCAAUGCACAUAUUGCAAGAGGAUGGGCCAUACUCAAGAAAAUUGGUCUUACCAGUUCUGGAAAAAAAAAUGAGUUGAGGAAGUACACCCCCGUCCCCUAGGACAGCUAAUUUAAUACACUUCUUCACAAGGGAGUUAGAGAAGAUUAGGGUGGAGAUUGACACAGUUUGAGGAUGGAAGGAGAAGGAUUCCCAACAUGAGAUCUCGCAUAAGGAUGGGGAUUCCUAUUAUUUGGGUAGAGAAAUCAGAGUUUGAGAGAGAAAAGAAGAAACCAAAGUUAGUUACUGCUCUAACAGAAAUAACAGCUUCUAACAAACUAACAGAAAUAACAAAACACAACUGUCCUAACUGAAUCAUAACAACUCUAUUUUGCAGAAAAUUGGGAGUGCUAACCCAAGGAAGAAGUGCAAUAAAGAUUCAUUGAGCCUCAUUCCUAAAGCCCCUUUACCUAGAAGGCCAACUUGGGAGAGGAUAGGGCUUGAGCCCGGAUAUAAAUCCUAUAAGGAUGACAUGCAAGGUAAGUAUGAGCUUCAUGAAAAAUCUAAAGAGACUAACCAAAUUUCCUUUAAUGUGGGUAUUGGAGGAUUAAAUCCGAGGAUGAAUUUUCUCAAAGAAAGAGGGAAUAAUGGAGAUCAAGGAAAGCCUUCAAGGGAAAAACGAAGAGCUUGGGAGAGGAAGAAUCUAAUUGGGCUAGGAAGCCCAACAAUAAGGGAAAGAGCUAAGAAAGAAAAGGAGAUGUUGCUUGAAAAGGAGAUCAACACCACCAAGCUCAAGCCUAAAGUGAGAAAGAAGAGCCCAAGAUGCAUUUGAUCUAAGUGGAAUAACAAUGUGUCAACUAUGUGCUUGCAAUCUUAUUUAUUUUUAGAUUUUAUUUAAGUAUUUUGAAUUGUUCUAAAUGGGUUGUUCUGAUACUAAAAAAAACCCCAAUUUCCAACAUUAAAAUUAGGUUUAGCCAUCAGCCUCAUUAGGAGGGAGGCACUAGUUGUUUUCUAUAAAUAGCCUUGUACUCUCUUGCUUUUGGGGCAGAAUUGAUAAGAUUAGAAUUUCACUCCUUUUGUGAAUUUAAGAGUUGUGCCUCUUGUUGGUUCUUAGAUUGAACCUUUCUUGGUUCUUAUCAAAGGUUUUCAUACCUUUGUGGCGAAUCUUUGCUGAACUUAUCACUCUCUAUAGAGUAUGGCGUCUUCCCCUAAAUUUCUAUUAUUUUUCAUCUUUUCAUUUUUGUUUUUAAUUGUUUAUUUUUAGUUUCAUGUGCUUAAUAUUUUAGAGUUUUCAUUCUUGCACAACUUUCCUCUAUUCCUUUGUUUAUAUGCGCGUCAUUACCAUAAAGCUUCAAGCUUUCUUUGAUUGAAUGUGUCAUUGUUAUAAGGAUUAAUGAAGUUGUUUCAAAUUCUUAUCUUUCUCUUCUCCUUAAUUCCAUUAAACAUGAAUCCACUCAAGGACGAUCCUUAAAAACAUUAUGACUCCUAUCGAGGAUCAUAUCAAACUUGGCUGGGUUGCAGCAGUUUAGAAAUUUGCUCACAAUUUUGCAUUCCUGCUCCAAACAGCGUAACCAGUUGUGCUGCUUGAAGGUGGGAGAUGCAGAUGGUUGAAAUUAUGUGUUUGAUAUGCCUGUUAAACCUAAAGCACUAACUCUUAUUUAUGCUAAUCAUAAUCCUAACUAAUUACCUAUUCUAACAUUCUAUAAGGGCCACUCUCAACUGACUAGGCCUAACCAACAAAUCCCAUCCUAACGCACAUAUGCUCGUAAUAUUAAUUGCUUCCAAUCCAUCAACGAUUCCUUCCCAACCCACUUGGAUCUUGGUUCUCAUCACAUCUUAAAAAAAAUAUUUGUUGCUAGAGUAUUAUUUUACUGUAAAACAAUUACUUUGUCACUUCUACGAUCUCCUUCAAGGUGAGGUUGAAAUGACAGGAAUGUUUUCUCAUAUUUUUUGUUUAGUAUUUUGAUAUAGAUAAAAUUUAAUGAGAGAAAAUAAACAAUCAAAAAACAUUUUUCUUUUUCUAUAAAAAAAUUCAUUUACUUUUGGAGUUUCUUUAAUAUAAAUAAAGCAUAAAAUAGAAAAGGGCUUAAAUACAGAUAGAAAAAUCAUCUGUGUAGACAAAAGUGUAUAAAGGAAGGAUUUUAUAAUGUUGUAUUAAAAGCAAAAAACAAAUUGUAAUAUUUCAAAGUCAGCAGGAGAUUCUACUCAUUUGGCUACACUGUAGAGAAGAACUAUAUAAUUAUUAUUCUUACAAAUUUAAAGGUGUAACCAUACCUGAGGCAUUACUUCUGCUUCAACAACCGACACAUAAUUUGAUAUAGCCCGAAUACAAAAUAAAGCAGCCUCCGCUGGACACCAUUCCUUGUGUUCAUUAUUACCAUGGCCAGAUACAGCCUAAACAGGGAAGUCAGAAACAGUGAGAGGUUUAGGAAAUAACAUUCACAUUAUUUAAGAAAAAGCACAUAUAAGCAGCAAAAACAUAGCCAACACCUACAAUCUACUUUCUGAUAUUACGGUUAAUGCAGAAGAAUAAACUCUAGAGACCCACAAGUUCAGAAUGAAACUUAUGCACUACAAUUUGAAUAAACAGAUAAGCAAUAUCCCACCAUUAAAAUAACCUUAUAUUAAUAAUAGGCGAAGCAUAUUUAAUUUAAAUGACUUCAAGAUGUAAUCCGCACCUCAAGCAGUUUCAUGUAUAGAAUUUUAAGUGUGGCAUCACCGCCAAGUACUGAUGAUGCAUCUGUUAAUACAUCCGCAACAGCUGAAACAACAAUUUGCAGUUAGCCUAUUAGAAAUAUCAUCUAAUUCUGGUUGAAAUAAAAACAGUCGAUAUAUGGUUUGAGUAGUAUUAUAUAUAGUUUUGUUGAUAAGUAAAAACAAUCCUUAUACGGAUUGGAUAUCCAUCCACACAAAAAUAAUAAUGGAUGAGCUGGGUUACUUUUUUUCUAAAAUGAAUCAGAAUGCACUAAUGUCUAUGACUUAUCCAUUUCAAUACUAAUCAAAAUGUAUCCAAACUAUCUAUUUUACACCCAUAUAUAACAUUGAAGGACCAAAUUGAAAUCCAUUUUACUAUUUGUUUAUAUUGCAUAAAAAAAAUUACUUCAACAUAAUAAAUUACAAAAAAAGAAUAUGGCAUUAUUUGUUAUAUUAAUCAUAGUAAUGAUUUUUAACAUUUAAACCUUUUUGAAAUAUAGUUUAGGGUUAAUGGUUUAUGCAGAAGAAUAUGCAAGGGAGAAAAGAAAAAAUGCAAGAGAAGUAGAAGAGAAGAGAUUUUGGGAUCAGCAUAUGAGAAGUGAGGUCACAGGUAAAAAAGAUAAAUGAGGUUGCUGCUUUGCAAUAAAUGCAACAGUCAGGGUAAAUGAGUGAAAAUGGAAAUUUGACAUUUGAGAGAGAAUAUAAUAUAAAAAAUUGAAUCAAAUGAUCAAGCUGAGAGAUGGAGACCCAACAGCAUUUUUAACCAUGAACCGCUUUUUUGAGUUUUCAUCUCAACUGUCAAACAUACUAGCUUCUCUCCAAAACAGAUCAAAUGCGAAAUCAAUUAUCAAUCUAAUGUACCCCUGAAUAGAAUCAAUCUAAUGCACAACAAUACAUGGAAAACAAGGAAAUGAAUCACCACACCACAAACCCAUUACCAUAUUUAGUCUGCUUAAAUUCCUUAAGAUCCUCGUAUGAAAGGUCUUGAUAAUCUUCAGGAUACUGUACCCGAAAGAUAACCUACAAAACAUCCAUGAAAAAAAUAGCAUAAAAAUAAUGACAGGUACAGAAUCCAGUCGUGACUAAAAAUAAGAAGUGUUAUGAAUGAGUAACACAGGCAAUAAAUCAUAUUUCAUAAUGCAACAAGAAUGUUGAGAACAAUCGUGUAAAUAAGUAGAAAGCCAUGCACAUUUUUAUGGGACAGAGAUAAUUACAAAACUGAUUUUAAGGUAGCACACAUGAGAGCUGGAAACCAUGCACUGCAAGGGUGUUUGACAGUUUCAGAGGAAACGUUAGUUCCAACUUCAAGUUUCCAACCAGGAAGACUCACCAGCGAUACAAGUGACUCAUAUGCAGGUCGAAAAACCUGCAGCCUUCUAUUUCUCUCAGCUUCAAUGCAUGCUUCGUUGCCAUAUGAAAUAUAGGACUCCCUGUCAGAUUAUGUAAUAAUCAUAUUUCUGGUUAAAGCAAUGCAAAGUAAAAACAGUACUUUCUAAAGUGAAGAAAAUUCACCUUUUAGUCAAGUUUAACUGGAGACUAUGCCAAAAGUUAAAAGUCAUAGAAGCAAUAUCAUAUUCAGGAUGUGAAGCAACUUCCAACAAUGCAUGCACUAUUAACAUUGAUUCAUCUGAACCUGGAAAAUUGAGUCAUGACGCACGCAGACCCAAUAAGUUCAACACAACCAAGAACCAUGAGAAACUAGCCAUGGCAACAAAGUUUUUCACACAUGAGAAAGCAUCAAUUCUUCUCAAAUAGAAACCAACAAAGUGUAUAUCUAAGUACAAGUACCAGUUGCAAUCAGUUCCACAUAUGAAUCACCCAUGUCUGCAAAUAACCUAGCAAUUGCCUUCACAUCUUCCUCGUCCUAAAGGCAGAUAAGAGGAUCGUAAAAAGAAGACUUGUAAGUAUAGCAGGCAACUGUCUGCAAACUAAGAAUGCCAAUAUCAUAUUAUAAUGAACAAAACAUUGCUAUGAUUGGAAGAUAAACUAAUCGUUUUCUAUAUCCAUGGGCAUUCACACAGUCAUACAGUUUACAAACUGAAAUCCUUAAAAAGAAUUUUUAAUUAAAAAUCAUUAACUUAAUACAGAUAUGAUAUAUUUUUUUCAGAAAAUCUCGCAGAUUAUUCAAUUUUUUGGUGACUGAAACACCUCAACAAAUUAUAUAGACCAAGUAUCGCACACAACAGCAGUAACAGGUACACAUGCAAAGAAACAAACAAUAAUUUAGCAAAGUAAUUUAUAUACCUAUUUAUCCAUUAGCCAGAAAAACGGAGAAAAAAAUGCAUGUAAAAAAACAAGAAAAAAAAAACUCAAUUGACCAUUGAUUUUGAAACCCUUACAGCCUAAAUUAAAAAAAAAAAAAAGAAUUUUAGGGUAAACUUCCAAAAUAUUACAACAGGAACUUGUGAACUUUAGUAAUAUCAGAAUGUGAGUUUGCUUUGUAAUAUCAUCAUACAUAAUAAAAAUUAUACAGUUUAUGGUAGUUAACCUUGCUCUUGUAUCACUGUCACCUCACCUCUCACAGCCUGGCUGCGAUGGUAUGUUCACCAAGUCAUGCUUUUGGGAAGCAGAAAUAACAGCUGUCUUUACAGUCAAAUCAAAGCCGUCAAGAUACUAUGAUUGAUGGGACAAAAAUUCCUGUUUUUCCCUGCUUAUGUUUGACUACCACACUGGUCUUUUAAAAAGGCAAUUUUUGAAAUUCCAUUCCUUUUCUCCUAUGAGAUAUGAAAGUAGGAUUGAAAAUCCCUUAUGUUUCAAAGAGCAAUGCCCUAGAUUGUUUGGCUACUGCUCCGUUCCUUCAAACUUCAGCAUGACACCAACAGACAUACACACUUUUAUCAUACUCACGAGCCUGUCCUCAUUAACUUUAUUUCACUGUGAACACAACGUCUGGCAAACAAGGGGGCUGGGACAAAGAAUCACUGGGUUACUGGAAAAACAAAUGGCCUAGGCUGCUGGAAGAACGAAGGUGUUAGGCCCCCAGUUAACAAGGUCUAUAGAAGGAAUAAGAGGUCCAUAUUAGAAGAGCCCAUCCUGUUAAUGAUAGGAUUGUUAGUUAUGAUAAUGAGAUGAAACAUAAAGUUAGUUAUGAUAGUAAGAGGGAAGUAAAUAGCAAUGGGGAGGAGGGGGGAGGAGUUUUGGGGAGUAGUUCAGAUGUCUCUCGAAUUCCCUGAUUGUAUCUUUUCCAUCUUCUGAAUGAAGCUUCGUCCUGGGAGAUUGGGUAUCCAAAUAGAAGACUCUUUCUCUGUGUUCUCUUUUCAGUUUUCUUUCUUUCUUAAACCAGUAUCUUACAAAAGGAUAUCUGCAAGUGCAACCCAGUGGUUUUCCAACCAAGUAAUUCAGUUUUGAUUUUCAAAUGUCCCACCUAUUGGAAGACUUCUCACAUGAUGCAUUUCCUAGUAGAAUCCCAGUAGGCAGCAGCCAACCAAUUUUCCAGCAAAGCCCACCUAGGUUUCAGCAUGAAGUAAUAUUUACAGUCCCCCUACCAGCCUCACCCACCACUGUACUUUUUAUUUUUUCCAUGCUUCCUGUAACUAAUUUGUUAGUUAGAUUAAUUAUUAUCGGCUUUUUAUAUGAUUUAUGAUUAUUAAUGCUGAAGUAUUUUAUAUUUUUGAGCAUUUAUACAUGUGUAGUAUAAAUUAUUUGCAUUCUAUGUACUUUCUUUGGUAUUGUGGCUGCUAUAGGUUUCUUAGGGUCAGCUGUUCAGCACUGGUUUCAAGAUUGAGUGCUAUGAUAUAGAGUGAACACAUUAUAUUCCUACCUUAAAUUCUUAGUGAAAUUGUCAACCAGAAGUGAACAUAACAUUUAAGUAGCUAGCUAUUAGCUGCCCACUAAAUACAAUAGAGAAAUGAUCAAAGGCUGGAUGAUUCACUAAAUAUUUGGUAUUCACAGCAUGCCCCUAAAACCAUAGGUGCUACUCCCAAUCAACCAUUUGAUACAUCGCAAACAAAAAAAAGAGCAGAUUAAAUUUUACAUUACUGUAGACUAUAACCAUCAAGUAAAUGCCAGCAGAGAGAACAUAAUCAGCAAUAUCAAAAACAAAAAUUGUUCCGGAUUCUUCAGAAUAAUCAAGUACGCAAUCUCUCAAGCCCCAGAGCAUGCAGAUUGAGUACUAAAAAGUCUUUACCUUCGUAGAAUCACCAAGCUGGACUUUAAGAUUCAUAACUUGAGGUACAAUGACUUGAAUUAAGGGCAUAUUUGCAGAAACACCAUCAAUGUUUCCUGCUGUUGUGUAGUGUAUUAACUCGGAAAUCACUGCAAAGAGAGCACACACAUACACACAAAAAAACAAUAAGAAGAUUAUGUUGCCAACAGGAACACCAACAGCAAUAAUCAAAUGGUGGUAAUAAUAACAGAUGCUGAAAGUGAAAGCAACAUCGAUCAUUAAAAAUAUCCAAUUUCUAAGCAAUCAAGCAAAGACAGCAAGCACAACUACUGCUGCUAAAGGAAGGAAGUCGGACACAUGGAACUUUAUUUGGAUGUCAUGCCAACACAAAAUUUUAUCACACAAACAAGUUUACAAUACACAUUGUACAGAUUCAUUUUGCACACAAGCAGUUCUUUUCCUUGUCUAAUAAUAUUCCAAUUUCCAAGGGGUAACAACAUCAUAUUUUUUAUUUAUUCAACAUUUUUUAGAAGCAUAUCUCAUUACAGCAAGACUGCAACAAUAAGCAGGUCAACGGUAACAGUUCCUGGUUAAAAUUGUAAGACUGUAGAGUGUAGGAUAUGAAGUGUUAAUUAACCUAAAUCUUAUAUAAUUUCUAGACCAAAUCAUGGUGGGAACCCAAUCCAACAUCUAAAACUAAUGGGUUUUAAGAUUUAAGGCAUCAAUCAACACUUAUGUUUUUUUUUUAUCAGCAAAAUAAAUGUAUUAUAUAUAAAUAAAUCAACACUUAUAUGGACUAGAGAAAAUGCCUAGUUUAUUUAUUUUAGGAAGCUUGAUUAUUUCUCAUGAGCCAAUCACCAAGUGACUAACUUCUUUUAUUCUAUAACACCAAAUUGCUUACUCUUUUAAGUUUUAAGCGGUCUCUUUGAUAACAAAUUAUCCAUUUUUUCUUUAAAUAUGAAAGAUUAAGAGAGGCAUAAAACAAUACAAGUCAAAAGUUGAUGAGAAAUAACCCUAAGCAUAAAAAAGACAAUUAUGUCAAAAAAAGAUAACUGCAGAAAUAAUGUUUGAGGAGUGCUAACAAACUCCUUGUAACCCACUAUUUUUAUUUAUUCGAAAUUAUUGAAAACUACAAAAUCAUGAGAGAAACCCAUUAAAUAAGAGAUGCAAGACCCACAAAAUUAUGAUUUCCAAUAACAAAUUAGAGUGUGUUCAAAAAAGUGUGUUAGAAUGUGUUCUUAGCAUUUCUCGUGUUUUUUUCAUCUCAAGACAAAACUUUAACCUUGAAAUAUUAUUGCAAGCUUUCCUUAAUGAAGAUUUUCUGGUUUAGCAACGUGAAUAUUACUUAUAUGGACUUAAGUAAGCGAGUAAAUAGCUAAAAAUAAAAUAAACAGAAUGCAACAUUAAUGUUUUCCCAGUUGUCAACUUGUCAUACCAUUUACAGAUGCCUCUGAAAGUAACUCAGAAUUCAAGCUUGACAACGCAGUGAGAACUAGCGGAUGAGAACUAAGAACUGAUCCAGGAAUCCUGGGGAACAAAAAAAAAAUCACUGGCCAAUAGAAUCAAAUACUUUUUCCCCCACUAGAAGAUUGAGAGAAAAACAGACCUGAAUAAGUUUAUAAGGAACAUAUAUAUCUUAUAGUCCAUCUAAGUUUCAGCAAGUUGUAAUAAACAGUCCCCCAAGCCUCUUCAUUCAACUUUAUGAAUGCUAAACUAAAACACAUUACCCAGCAUUUUUAGAUAUGCUUCCCACACCUUCGAUCACUUUCACUUAACAAAAGCAGUCUAUAUAUGUAGAACUCAGAUAAAUUAUCCACUCCUAACAUUCUUUCACAUGAAAGCCAAAUUUUAAUGUUCAUUAAAACACACGCACACAACAAAAAAGAAAGAUUUUCAAAUCUUAAAUUGGGGACAACAGAGCAUUUAUGUGAUUUUAACAAAAGCUUACAAUCAUUCAUUAUAUGGGUUAAAUGAGUCUUUGAUGCCCCUAUAAGUUCUUAAAAAAAUAACAUUGAGGAAGAAUAGCAUAUUACAUUAUCAGUAAUGCACCAUGUGAUGAACAAAAUUUAGGUACAGGCCUAAACAAAGAGAAAUUCCAUACCCAUGCUUUAGCCGAAGCCAUGAAGCAAAUGCCUCAAGAACCUGACCAUUUAACAUGAAAACAUCACCAUAAGACCACUUAAUAAACCUAAGUUGAAAAUACCUCACAAGAACCACAUAAUGGACAGUGAGUAAAUAGACAAUAUCCACUGCUCACCUGCUCCUUAAGUUCAGAAAUACUCAAACAUGCUGUCAAGAUAUUAAGAGCAAUUUCCAUUUGAGAUGUAAGCUCUUUUUCAAAUUGACGUCGCCUUUCUGGGCGAGCUGCAAUCUUAUAAUUUAAUACUUCCUGUGUAUAAAUAUAAAAUAUAUAAAAGACAUACUAUGCAGCACAAGCAUACCAAUUGUUAAUAAACUUAAUUUAAUUAAAAUACUUUUUCUCAACCAUUUAUAUAAGAAUUUAUGAGUUGUCUGAUGUUAAGCUAAGCACUAAAUAAACAACAAUGUGCGAGUCCAACAAGGAAGCAACUUUGCAAAUUAUAACAACUUGGCGUUUAGUCAUUCAAAGGUCAGAAUUAGCCUAAUUAAUAAGAUGAAAAGAUGAUGCAUGUUCCUCGCACGCUACUGAUGUCAGCUUAUAUACCUCCGGUAGAACUGUAAGUAACUCCAAGAAUCCCGGUAUAUAUUCCGGAUGGGAAUCCAUCUCAUCCCUAAGCCAUUUAACUAUACCACCAUCCCCCCAGUCUUCUGCAGGCACGUGCACAGCCAAGGCAGCCACUGCAAUGCUAAUCUACAAGUGCAGAAAAUUUUGAACAAUACAUUUGGUUACAUUAAAUUUCCAUAUAAAAAACACAAAACUAACCGAUAAGACAAACUAAAAAGAAGACAGAAGUUGCAAGGGACUUCUAUAUGACACCUGUGUUCUGACUUUUGGAGGACCUUUGUGGAACUUUUUCAGUAAGGUCUGCAUUCAAAAACAACUAAGAAAGUAAAGCAUAUAAAGUAUUAUUUCUACUUAAACAUCUGCAUGGUCAUGGAUGGGAGUCCAUAAACCAAACAAUUUUACACAGAGCAGGUUUGAAAACAGGAGUAUAUAUGCAAUCCUUUUAAGACGGAAUAAAAUUACACAUCCCAAGCUUAAAUAAACACCCUAUGAAUAACACUAAAAAUACAUAAACCCUCACUCACAUUCAAUGAGUCACGCAACGGCCGAAAAGCUGUGGAAGGGAGCUCCUCAAAGUCCCUUUGUACCUAAAUCAUACCAAAAACAAGUACUCAAAACCCAAGAAGAAGAAGAAGAAGCAUCCCUGAGCGCAAGUAUUUUGCAUUCAGAAACUAACAUCCAACAUUCUUAAACACGCAUAAGCAUUAACUACACAUCAACAGGGAGUAGAAGAACAGCAGAGUUACCUUGCUUCUCAAGGUCUGAGAACAAAAUAUCAAAGUUUCUAGAUUGCUACUGGGAUCAUGAAGUAAAUUAUCAGCCACCUGCAGAAAACAAAGUAAUAAACACAUGUACAGUACGCAAGCACGUUUGAAAUUUUGUUUCUGCACCGAAUUACAGAGCUCACACAAUUCAAAAGAAAAAACAAAAAGCCCUAAGUCUCCUUGAAAUCCAGAAGACACGGAAAUAGAAACAUUCACAAAAAAAACACAGCUAGAUAACUCUCUCAGCGAAGUACACAGCUCCAGAACCAACGGCAAUCGUCAAAUCAAGCACCGGAGAAAAAAGAUAGCAUCGACAAACAACAUAAUUAUGUAGUCAUUCAGUGAAAAUCAAAUCGGCGAGCGGGAGGAGAGAGAGAGAAAUCGGAAACGAAACGAAUCGAGUGGAGCAGAGAACGGAUUGAAGGAAGAACCUGCCACGCAUCCAAAGUUCGCUGGAAAUCCUGGAGAUAGCGAUCGGCUUGCAUGCGCACCGCAUCAUCGGGGUGAUGGUACAGUGCAUUUAGGGCUUCCUUCACAGUGUUCUGAAGGUCCAUGCUCCUCAAAUCGAAAGGAAACGGAACGAAUCGAAUCGCAGCACCGAUAGAAGAAGACGAAAGCGAAGCUCAAUCUGGCUAUUUCGGAUUUAUUUAUAUCUGCAGCUUUUUCAAUUUCGGUGUUGUGAUUUGGGCACUGCGUUUGAAAUUGAGAGAGUGAAGUUUGUUGUCCUGUUGAUAAAGCCACGAAAGGGGUUUUUGGCGCCCGGUGAGAAAGGGUUGGAAGCCUUGCACUUGCUUGGAGGGGUUUGAUGGACGUUGAUAAGCGAUUGUGGACGGCGACACUUUCUCAGCCGUUUGAUUCAUUGACUCUAGGUCAACUUUUGUGUCUUGCGCUUUUGGCGAAAGGGUUAAAAAUGCGUCUGAUCUAGACACGUGGCUGUGAUCAUUCAGGUUGGAGUGUUGGGGCCCAUUUUUAAAGCCUUCAACGUGUGAAUCCUUGUGGGAUGAGGUUGAUUUUUUUUUUUUUUACCUUUCGGUUCUUUUUGGUAAUUGGCAUCACAUUUUGUUUGAACUUUAAAAAAAAAAAAUUAUACAAUAACAAAAAUGUUUGAAGGUCACAAAGGCUUCCUUAAAUUAUACUUGUAAAGUAAAUUAUAUUUGUUUUUAUUUACUGUUUUGUUGGAUAGUCAUCUGUUAAUUAAAGCAAAUUGUUGGAUCAAAAUUUAUGAAUUGAACUUAAUUUUUCUUUAUUAUUAGCUAAUUGGAAAUUUAUUAUCUCUUCAGUUUUCUGUUAUUGGGUUGGGUCCCUCUUUCAGAAGAAAAAAAUUGUUAAAAUAUUAUAUUUAUUUUGUGCAUUUUUAAUAUAUUGGCAUUCUCAUAAUUGAUAGGCCUUCUUUGAAUAGGAUAAGCUUGUGGAUAACUUUGAAGAGGAACUCAAUAGUUGCCCACAUAGUAAUUUUGCUAGCAUUACCCCCUUGAUCCAUAACUAUGACCCAUCAAAACAACAUGUUAGCAUGAGAUAUGAGAGUUUAUUAAGAAAUUAAAUAUUGUUUCUAGACAAAAGCUAUAGUAUUGAAUGAUACCAAGAAAUACAAAGUCUCACACAUUAUUUUUUAUAAAACAAAUUUAACACUCAAUGCGACAUUCAAAAUCAAUUAGUUAACAUGAUAAUUCACAUGCACACAUUCACAUGCUAUCACAAAAGUACGGUUAAAUGGUACGAAAUAGUCCAUGCAUGAAACAGUACGAAAUAUAAGUGUCUUAUUUUUAUUUGUUAGAGAUUUAAUGAAAAAAAAAAUUAAAAAAAUCAUGGAACAUUGAUUGAUUUAAACUUUUGUACAUUUCAUGUGAGAUAACGUUCGUACUAUUCAACAAUUUCCUACCACAAAAUACAAAUACAUGUUAUGUAAAACAUUUUUAACAUCAAACCUAAGAAAUUACCAAUACUAAUAUUGUAAUUGUAAGCCUCACAUUUUCUGCGAUGACCGCACCCAAAUAUGAUGUAAUUACCAUUAGGCUAAUGACUCUCCUCAAUAUCCGAAUGAGGGACUUUAAAGAUUGUGAGAAUAUCCUGAUAAACUUUAACUCUAUAAGCCCACACUAUCCACUAUGUCAUUGAAGUUAUUUAGUUGAUAUAAAGUUUAAUUUUUUGGUAUUGUAAAUUCAUUUUUCAAUUAUUCUUGUAGAUUAAUAAAUUUAUUUGUAUUUAUUUUAAUUUUUAUCUAUAAUUAUUAACUAAAAUAAAAUAUUGUAAAACAUUUUAUAUUCAACUAAAUUUUUUAUAAAAUUGUUAUUUUUAAUUAUUAUUGUUCAUAAAAUAUAUUUCAAAAUAACCAAUUUAAUAAGUAAAUAAAUUUAAAUAUAAUUAUCAAUAUAACAUUUAUUUUAAUAAUAAAAUUAAAAAAUAUACUUUUAUAUAUACUAAAAGUACCCCUUAAAUAUAUAGGUUUCUUUUUCCUAAAUUAUACCUUCUCUCUUCCCAUUUAUUUUUUUAUUUAAAAAAAUUAUUAAAAUUUUAAAGUUAAGAAGUCGGGGUUGGAGAACCCCAACUUCGGUUUGGUUUUGUUUUUUGUAAUUUAUUUUUUUGUAUUAAAUUUUGAUUUUUUUAAAAAAUAAUUUAUUUUUGUUAAUAUUAUUAUUUUGUUUUUUAAAUAAUGAGAAUUUUUUGUUUAAUAAUUUAUUAACAAUUCCUAUAUAUAAUUUCACAAUUUCGCAACACAUCACACAAAACAACAUCCUCACAAAAGUAACUUUUGUUCCUAUUUCUUAUAGUCUUCCCAUUCACAUCCCCCAAACACACCCAUGACUCCACCUAGAAAAAUAUCAACUGUCGUCCAUAGUGAUGAACCUAAUAUUUAUAUACAUGAGUUUAUUACGUUAACACAAUUUAUUCCAAAAAUUAACAGUUGUAUCCCUAAUCGUGCAAUAGAGAUAAUUGUUAUAUCGUGUCUCUAUUUUAUUUAAUCAUGGCCAAACACAUUUUAUUUAAGCACAUUUACAUGAUAAUGACGAUCUUAAGGGCAUGCUAAAAACAAUUGUCCAAAAUCCAUAAUUGAAUUAUGCCAAAAUUUUAUGUUGUUACUGAGUUUAUUCCUCAACCACAAUCACCGUUUUCACAACCACAACUAUCGUCUCCACAACCACAAUUAUCGUCUCCACAACCUGAACUCAACUAGUGUCUUCAUACAACAACAACCGUGAAACACAUGACGCUCUUGACAUUUAUACUUCAUACAUACAACUAUUAUCCUAACAUGAUUCUUUUUCUUGUGCCCAACAAACAUCUUUUAACCAACAAAAUUAUCAUCCAUCACAAUAUUUUACAACCUCACCCUUGUCAUAACAAGCACAAACACAAACAUCAAACUCAAAUGAACAUCUCAUCACUAAUCCCAUUAUACGAUUUCACAAAUAAAAUAUGGAUGAUUUUAGUGAGCAUGGGGAUCAAAAGUUGUUUCAUCACAACAAUGACCAAAACAAUGAUGAGGGUAUUGUCGUACUAACGUCACCUCCGUUGCAAUAUCACCAACUUAGGUGUUGAACCUGUACCACCUAUCACAAUACAUUGAUCAACAUCAUUUCAUUUAACAACAAAGAUCGAGUACAACCACUAACUGAUGCACUUGAGGUUGGCAUGAUUUUCAAUGAAAAAGCACAAUGUAUUUAAGCAAUCAAAGAAUAUAAUAUUAGAAAUCAUUUUGAUUGCAAAACAAUAUAUUCUGACCAGAAAAAACCAAACUUCAUGUCUAAAUCACAUGAAAAUAGUUGUGCAUAGAGCUUAGGCGCAUGCAAUUCAAAGACGCCCAAGAAAUGAAUUAUCAAGAGUAUUGUAGAAGGGGAGACAAUUCAGCGUGAGGGUUUUUCCUGAAGAAUCUUAGAAGUUACUCCGCAGAGUAACAUUUCUCUCAUUUAUUUUUCCUACGCCACAUUACACAAAUUCUUUUCGCGGUAACCCAAAUUACAAACAUUUGAAGAAACCACUCAUGCAGGCCCGGUGAUAAUCUAUAAUAUUUUUUUCGUUAAACUAUUUUAAUUCAAACUUCAUAAUGUAUUAAAUUGAUUGAAUAUUUAUAGGGUACGCAUACACAAAGAAGAUGCACUAGCAGCAUAUUGGGGACAUAUCCGUGCGAAUAAGUCAAGUGCACCUGAAUAACUUGAUCAGUUACCCAAACAAUAUAUAUUUGGUACAGUACUUCGAUGAGGGGAAACAUUGGGGACAUAUAACUACAAAUUUGUUUGAGUUGGUCAAUUUCAUGUUCAAAUUGUCAAUGUCAUCAGAGGAGACGUACUUCAAGACCACAAUUUUUUUUGCUAUUAGAGGCCAACAAACCCACCCAGGCAAUGAUCAACUCCAACUCGCAGUAUUUCGAAGUUGUCUCGGAGGCCAUGAAUAGUUAUCAACAAUAAUCAAAUACACACAUUGUUAACGAAUUCGACAAACAUAACCACACAUUCUUUAUAACAGAGACCCAAGUCCCACUUCAAACACUCAAACCACCUGAAAGGUUUAGGGUCAUGUUACAAUCCCAAAAUUAUGAUUGUAGUGAAUAUCAGACUAAACACUUACCGUGUUCUCAUGCAAUGACUGCAUGCAAAUCUAUUAAUAUUGAUCCAAUGAAUUAUGUGCAGACACUAUUUGUACAAAACAACAUUUUGGAAGUCUAUGACAACUCCUUUGGUUUACAAACACAUGAAUUAACGUGGCAAAAAUAUGAAGGAGAUAAGUGGGGUCCGAUUUCAAUUCGCAUUCCUUGUUGAGAUGGAAGAUGUGGAAUCUGUCGACAACCCAUAACAGAAAAAACUAUCCCAACAUACCUUCAUCUUCAACCUUUCCUUAAACAAAUAUUAUUGUUUAUUUUAUUUAUGAUGUAAUAUAUUUUUGUACAAAUAAAUUGUUAAACAAAAAAUAUUAUCAUUUUUAAAAAUAAAUAAAUAAUAUAAACAAAAAAAUUAUAUUUAAUAAAAUAAUAAUAUUAAAAAAUUUAAUUAUUUUUUAAUGAAAAUGAUAUUUAAAAAACAAGUGAAUUAAUUUAAAAAAUAAUAAUUUUUUAAAAUUAAAAAAAAAUAUUUUAAAAAAAUAAAUAAAUAAAAAAGGAAACGAAACCAAGGAGGAGUUGGGUUCAUCAACCCGACUUCUCUCCACACUUUAAAGAAAGGUUUAGUUUAGGAAUUAUUUUUGUUGGAGGUGUAUUUUGGAAAAAAUAAGAAGAAAGAAAGUGUAGUGUAGGGAAAAAGAAAAAACCCAAAUAUAUACCAUUAAAUCGGAAGUGUAGAGAGAUGGGGAAAAUAGGCAAAUGUUGGAUGCAUCUCCAACAAAAGUCACCUAUCUCGCAAACUUUCACCUCAACUUGCUAGUGACAUAGUUAGCUAUUUUGUACCAAUUGAAAAUGAUUACUACCACUCUGUAAGUGUCAUAUAAGCUAUCAUAGCCGAACCAAACCUAGUCGUAGUCAAAUGUGAUUCAUAGACGAAGAGAGAUAGCAAAUAUUUUGAUCUUAACCUAGUAACUGGGUUCCACAAAUAAAACGGGUAUUUUUUAUAUGAAGGUAAUGCUAAUGCAUGAUUAAAUGGCAGCAUAUGUGCAUUAGAAGGGCUAUCACCAGCAACAUAACAGAUCAACCCAUUACAGGAACCAAUAAUGUGAUGCUCCUUGGAUGGCUGAACAAUGGUACCGGUGGAUCUUAAAUAAGGUGCUGGCAUUUUUCUGUUACCUCUGAAGAUGCAAUUUCACGAAGCUUGCAUGGGAGGUCAAGGAUUUUAAGGACUUGGACACACACCUGAAUCGAACUAGAGAUUCACAGGAAGCCAUGUCACGAUUUCAACAAUGAGGUCCAUACAAAGGAUUGACAGCGGCAAUGGCGGCUGCUGCGUCAUAUUGUGACAAUUCUGGUUUUUGGUUAUAUUUGCCAUGCAAUUUGAACUGCUUGUUCCUUUGAGGCGAGCAUGUUCUUAUAUUAAUGAGUAUUAGAUUCUUGCUUCCAUCUCUGUGUCAGUUAUUGAAUAUUGAUUGUGGGAACCCAUGUGUGCGAUUUCGUGGCAAAAAGAUUGGAUUGGUGCGAAGGAGGGAAUUAUACAAUUGAGUAAAUUUUCAAUUGGUUUUAGUUAAAAUUCCAAAAUGAUAGGUUUUUUUUAUUCAUUUUUUAUUAUUAUUCAGAAAUGAUAGGUUAUUCAAAUAGAUAUAGAUAAUUCAUCCUCAAAAAUAGAUAUAGAUAAUUCUCAAACAUUUGACAUUAACAUAUUACUUGUUUAGUCGCAAUCAAACAUUUGAACUUCAGACAAGGACUCAAUUACGACCUUGGGGCAAUUUUCAUACUGUCCCUAACGCGAAUAAUAUCUUGCUAAUCAUAUAUGAAUUGUGAUAGAACAAAUCAGGAGAGAAGAAUCCUACCACACCAGAGUUUUGAAACGAAAACUAAACCACAAUAAGAUUAUUUCAAUUGCUAACAUGGUGAAACACUACGUUCCCAGUCAGAUGAUGCGCAAGGAAAUUAGAUGCAUUUCUUACUAUUGAUAUCAUACUAUGACAAAGAACAUACAGACCUUACAACAUUUUGCAUCAAUUGACUAGGUUGUUAAUAGAGCAGCGCAUGCUAACCAACCAGCCAAGUGACUUUUUCCUUUUCAAUGGAAAACCAACCACACUGAUUGGUCUGUCAUUCCCAAUGAACCUCCCUCAAAUUAUGUUGCUUUCUCAAAACCACCAGCUAUCUGCAUAUGCAGCCAUCCCGGCUGUGAUCCUUGAGCAUAUCCCCUGGCCGGUUGUGAUCCAAAUAUUAUUCCGGCAAGGUCAAAUGGCUGAGUGCCAACCUGAACCAACAAAAUAGCUGAUCAAAAUCACAGUAUUAUGAAAAUAAACAGUCCCAAAAAACAAUGAUGUGUUAAAGAUAUGUUCUAGGUCUAGCUAACAAUACUUAGACGAACAUAUUGCCCCAAGAACAUCACACUCUAUGAUUCAAUGAAAUCCAUGCGAGUCUUAGCCCCGAUUUAGUUCAUCCUACAUAACAUAGAUUUGACUCGAUCAUAAAGAAUGUGUUGAGAAGAGUGAGUCAAAGAGAGCAUAACUAGCUCUUUUCUUGUCCCAAUUGAGAUUACUUUCAAUGAAUAAAAAAAGCCAUGCUGCAUUUGCACCUAGAGGUAUAUUUGUACAAGUAUAAACGAAAAAGUGUAAGUAAAAAAAAAAAAUGAUCGUAGAAUAAAUUUGAAGCCAAAAGUAGUAAAUUCAUUAUUGGCUCACAUUACUUGCAUAGAAAAGUUAAUUUUGCUGUCACUUGGAAAAGCUCAUUAGGCAUCUUCACUGAUUGACUUUUUUUGGCAUAAUUCAUUUUGUAGUUAAUUCAUUAGAAAAAAACUAAUUUUAUUUUUCUCUUAAUCUUUCAAAUAACACAUGCCAAAAGACCAUAGAUAAGUAACCAGUUUGCAAGAAUCUCUAAAUUCUUUGGGAAGGAAAAUCAAUAUUAAUAACGAGAAUAGAAAAUUUCAUGAAUGAUGCAGAAAACUGUGCAGAAAUCAUACACAAAAAAUGGACAGUAAAAGCCAAAGAUAUAAUUCAUGAGCAGCAACACCAGAUAAACAUGAAUCCCAAGGAAGUUAGCAAUUAGUAAACCAAGAUGCAGAUCUGCUGUGCAGGAUAGUGAGAGCUUGCAGAACAUUUUCUAGAAUCAAGUAAAUAUACUUAGAUACUUGACAACAGGAUUCACUUGAGCUGAGGAUUCAUGCAUCUCUGUACAAUGAUACAUGUAGAUCACUGUAUAGUGAUAAUGAUAAUUUACAUUUACAUGAAACCAAUCUGGAUGACAAUCAACAAGGUCAAAGGACUAUGGGUUCACAGAAUUCACAAAAAGAUUCAACUCAUUUUCUUAAGUCUCUUCUACUCGGGAGGCUUUUAGACACCCAAAAAAGUUUGCAAUGUUUGGAUAACUUACAAUAACUGCCACCCGUGCUGGAAUCAGACAUUCAAAAUCACAAUUUCAAAUUGAUCCGGUGCUGUUGCAUCAUUAUAUUCUUUUGGUUGGAAAAUGAAUUUUACCAUAUCAUUGCAAUUUCUAUCAAUCUUAAUAAUUUAUGUUUUGUUUUCCCACUACCUUUAUUCUUUCCUUAUCCAUGUACGAUACACAUCAUAGCUUGCAUCGAUGUACACCAAACCAGCACUGGGCAUUUCCUGGGUAUUCUAAAACGCCAAUAAUACCCCACCAUGUAACAUUUUGCUUAAGAUUUUCUAAAUGGAAUGAAUUAUGAACGGCUUUGGCGUUAGAUUAGCAUACUUAUGUCAAUGCACUUACUUCUUUUGAAGGAAAACAUUCAAUAGUAGGGCUCAUGCUCAAUCUCGAAUUAACUGCCUCAAGCUUCAUAGAAAGGAACUGCAAAAAAACAAAAAACAAAAAAAAGUUAUUUUGCACAGAAUUAGUGUAUCAAAUCAUUCAAAAUCAUGUCAAAAUAUUUAGAUAGACGUUCACAUGUUUGGUCUCAUAUUUAGAAAUUAAUUUUGAGUCGAAAAUCGAUUAUGAAUUAAAGCAAUUUAAAGUAUUUUUUGUGUUGGAUUAAAAGUUUUAUAUCGAUUUUCAUUUCUAAUUUUUGAAAUAAAAACAUAAAUCAUUUCACUUUUAAAAUUUAUUUUAAUCAACAUCAAUUUCAUUAAAAAAAAAUCAGUUAAUUUUGUAAAAGUUGUUCAGCUAAGCACACAAUUAGAUUCAUUUCAGUGGCGGAGGAUAAAAGCAGGAAAGAGCAUUGAGAGACAGAACAGAAGGAUGGAUGAAGAAGAUACCCACCUCAACCUGAUGCUGCAGUGACUGGAUAUAAUUAAUUAUCUCAUCCAGCACAAGUGCUUUACCAAUUACCUAAACGGAAAAAUUACACAAUAACACGAAACGAAACAAAUAAUUAAAUAAAAAUGGAAUAAAAUUUAGCACCGAAGAAACUGAAAUAUCAUGUUUAGUUAUACCUUGUUGCAGCCGGGAACUAUAUCUUGAAGAAUUUUCAUCCUCUCACUGAUCUUUUCUCUCCUAGCCUGCCAAAACAAGUGUAAACAACACUCUUUCAAAGGUCAUUGAAGAUAUGAAGAGAAAGAGAGAGAGAGAGAGAGGUGAAUUGUGAAUUACUCUCUCAGCGAGACUGUGGCUAUCGGUGGCUUGGCCUCUUCUAGCUCGCACGUGUAUAUAGUCUUGCUUAGGUGGCUGCUCGGAAGAACUAGGUUUCGCCGUUUGUUCGGGUAACUUGUUACCGGCUACUGAAGUCGCGUCCACUUCACCCGCCUUCAAGGCACCGUUUUGAUCCUGGGAUCCUGAUCCUGAUGAUUUGAUAUGUUUAUUGCUGCCACAAUCAGUCUGUUCGAAUCCCAAACAGAAGAGGGUGUGAGAAAUGGAUUAGAAAUAAUUGAAAUGGUGGAAAUGAAGAGAGAAAGAGGAAAGAACCGAGGGGGAGAGGUGUCUCUUGUUACUGGGAGUGUGGUCUGUGGGAAAAUGAGAGGGCCAAAUCUCGGACAAGGAAGGGUUAGCGGAAGAGAAUGUGGAGUCGUUGAUGAGAGGAGGUUCCAUUGAGAUUCAUUCAAUUAGGCAAUUAGCUAAGCUACUACCAUUGUUUUGUUGGGUUUCUUCGUUUUCGUAAUUGAUUUAAUAAUGAGUUGCCAAUUCAGAUAUGACGAUGGAUGUGUGAGUGUGAAAGGUUAGUUUCCGAUAUUUUCUGCCUCGGCCCGGACUGGGAGUGGGAGCACUGAACAGCAAAGGCAAAGGCAAAGGCUGUGUGUGACUGUGGCCUACUGCGCCUACCGUGCUACUUAACUAUUUCUUCCCACUUUUAUCUCAUCCCAUCCUCCUAUCUUUUUUAAAACAAAUAUUUUACGUGUCAUAUUCUACCCCUUUCCUUUCAUGCACGAAUUAAUUUAAUUCAAAUUAAAUAACUCUUUUUUAUUUUAUUUUAUGAAAGGUAUUAUAUGAUUUAAUUUGUUGGCUCUCUUCCUUGUAUUCCCAAUUAUUAAGAUAUAUAUAUAUAUAUAUAUAUAUAUAUAUAUAUAUGAUGGGUUAGAUUAUGAUCAAUGUUUCUUAUAAGAUUUAAAUUAAUUUGUUUGAGUAGGUUUGAUUUAGUGUAUAUUUGAUUUGUAGUUGAAAUUAUUGUGACAAAUAUUUUAAUAUAAAUCUAACGUGUAAAAAUAAUUAACACAAAAUAAAUAAGAUUGUUGGUGGGUUGGUUUCAAUCGAUUUUUAUUAAAUUUAGGAUUCAAUUCAAUCAAAUUUGAUCGGUUUAGUUUUCAUAAUUUUUUUUUGGAAUUUAACCAAACUCAUUCAUGAUCGAUUUGAUUUGGUUCAGGUCAACGAGUUACUCAUUUAAAUUUGAUUUUUUUUCUUAGAAUUAUUGUUUUAUAUCAUGAUUUAUCUAAAUAUUCAAUAUAAUUAACACAAUAUUAUCAAAUGUCUGAAAAUAAUAAAAUUGAUUCAUUUAAUAUCAUAAAAAAUAAUAUUCUAAAAUAGACUAAUACAAAUUAAAAUAAAAAAUUCUUUAACGAGAUUUGCUAUAAUAAUUUGAAUCACAACUAUUUCCUAUAAAUUAAUUUCUUACAAUAAAUUUUAUUCUAACCAGAUUUGUUGCAACCAGAUUUAAUAAAACAAAUAAAUAAAAUAUAAUCCAUUAAUAUUAUAAACAUAAUAAAAAAAAUAAAUAUAAAAAAGUUAAACAAAUAACAAUGUACUUGAGAGUAAUAUCUUAAAAAGUUUCACGGUUGUCGUUCCAACACUUGCAAUCCCAAUGUUAAUCUAAAAAUUUUGAUUGGUUUGAUUCAGUUUUGAUCGGAUCUAUAAAUCUAAAUAUGUGAUCCAACCCGUACAUGAACAGUUUUAAUCGAUUCGGUUUGAUUUGGACUCAAAUACAUAAAUAAUCUAACCCAAAGUGUUCAAAUCGAUCUAAGUUAAUUCAGAUUCGUAGGUAACUCAUAACAGUGAAAAUUCCUAAAAAUAAAGAUGAUAAUCCGUCUAAUAAAAUUACUUUUACUUUAAACAUAACCUUACAAUCGUAAGACAACACAUGCUCUUAGUUUGUGCCUACCUAACACAUUAUUAAAAAUUAUCCGAUUGAAAAAGUCUCUAAAAUUGUUGUCACCCUAGAUAGAAUGAGUGUACUCACAUGGCGGGGUAAUCCUGAGCAAAAGGAAAAAUGUUGAAGUUCCACAUGAAGUAAAAUUACUGUCAAGAUAAACUAUAUAAAUGGAAGUGUAGGCAUGAGUGUCGAAUAGCUUUGACUUAUUUUUUGCAUUCAUGACUUUCUUCCUGGCUUCUUCUCUUUGAAUCGUAGAGCAGACAAACAAUAAUGACAGGAGUUCCGGGGACAUAAGAAUAUGACUAUGAAGAUCUUCAUAUUCAGGACCAGGACUUGCUAGCAAUUGGAAAAUUUUGUCUUCUUCAACACAUUUACAAAGUAUAGCAGCAUCAACAGUGUGUGGACGGUGCACCUCAAGUUCAUUCCACCUUCUUUUUAGAUUGCCAAGUAAUUGAACAAAGGGUUUACCUGAUUGUUGCAAGUUGACAAUGUCUUGUUGGAGUUCAAAGAUGCGAGCAGAGUUAUAUUGUUGACCAUACAUAUCACGAACUGUGGUCCAUAGUUGCGUAGCAGAAUCUGAAUAGCUGAAAAUCUCAGCAAGAUGUGGGCUCAUGGAAUUAAGAAUCCAUGAUCGCACUUUUUGGUCUUUGGACAACCAUGAUUCAUGAUAAGGAGAUGCUUCAUCUGGAGGAGAACUAUUCUCAUCAAUGAAACUCAAUUUAGAUCUUCCACCAAGAGCAAGAGUUAUGGCUUUUGACCAAGGAAGGUAAUUGAACUCAUUUAGUACAACAGAGCUCAAUCAUUGAUUAGGAUUAGACUCAAAUUCUAUUCCAACAGCCACACUAGUGGAACCUGUAGCUACUGCAAAAGGCACACCAGGAAAACUUGUAGCUCCUGAAGGCAAUAUAUGCGAAGAAGAAUGAUCUUCUGCCAUAGUUUGGCAAGAAGAAAAAAAAUCAAACAAAAGGAACAACCCCUCUUGAUACAUGAGAAUUUAAAUACUGUGUCAUGCUUUUAGACAUGUAUUCUGUGCCAUUACCAGAACGAAGGAUUUGGAUUUUGCUGGAAAAUUGUUUUAAGACAAGCAUGUGAAAAACCUUAAAAACAUCCAUAACCUCUUCUUAAUAUUUGAUCACUCGCACGUGUCCAUUGUUGCAAACAAUGGGAAAUGUAUGUUAAGAUGUUUCUUAUUGUCCAAAUAAUUUACAUAGUUUAUAACUUUUUACCUAUCAUUUAUGUUAAUGUACAGAGUGAAUUAUUGCCCUCCCAUGCUCGGGUCAAUAAAAAAAUAUUGAUUCAAUUGUUGAUGAGAUAAAUUGCACUUAAUCGAAAGUUUAUGACAACAUAUAAUAUAUUAAAUGUUAUGAUGAAUGUCUUGAUUGUUACCUUACCUAAGAUAUCUCCAAAAUUAGCCUUAUGUAUUUAUGUUAUUAUGUAUAUAUAUAUAUAUAUAUAUAUAUAUAUAUAUAUAUAUAUAUAUGAAACUCGUGUAUGUAAAUAAGCAAAUUAAGAAAAAGAGACUGAAGCGUGUCAAGUAACUAGAAGAGGGCAGGACACGAAAGGGGAUAACAAACAGCCAAAGAAUAAAAUAUAACCAUUCUUUUUCUUGUUUGAGAAAAUUUCAAAGGCAAAUGGAAUGACCAUGCUAUCUUCUUUUCCUUUUGGACUUGAUUAUCCUUCAUUCAGUUCGAACCAUACCAGUUGUCAAAGGACUCAAGGCCUAGUCCAAGGUUCCAAAUUUUGCUUGGUCAAUUGGUGGCACAAGUUUUCAAAAUAUUAGUCGCUUACAUUACAUAUCAAUCAGUUGGAUAGAAAUGAAUAGACCCUUGACUUGAUUCUUCUUGUUAUAUUCAUAUUCCUACUUUGUAUGGUUAGCAUUUAGCAGAGUGAUAUCUUUGAUGGGGUAUGACAAAAAUUAGCAUGCAAUAAUCUACCUGUAAAUAUGCAGUUUCAUAUACAUAAUGAAAUGAAGAGAAAAUAAAUAAGUUAAAAAAGUUAUAUUUUCCUUAUAACACAGUAUGAUAUUCUUAAAAAUGGAAUAACUUCUAGUAGAUCGAAUAGCAGUUUCCUUAUAACACAGUAUGAUAUUCUUAAAAAUGGAAUAACUUCUAGUAGAUCGAAUAGCAGUUUUCUAGUAGUGUCUGUAUGUAAUUUUUUUUUCCUUCAAAUAGACAAGUGUUUUUUUUUAUCAAUGAUAUAUUCUAGCCAAAAUAAUACUGAAUUUUCAUAUUUACCAAGAUUAUGAUAUAAACAACUUACAUUUAUUAUCGUGAAGUUCUUAAAAGAUACUACUUUUAUAUAGUGGUUUCCCCCACCGAAAAAAUAUAUAUAAAACCAAUUAAAUACGUUAUUAGUAGAUUUGGGUAAUUGACUUUGGGCGACAUUGUACUCAUAGGAGCACCAACCCAGGAUUAACGUGUGCAUGAAAUCAUUGUUAUCCUAAUUGCAAUGAUGUUGGGUCAUUUCCUUCAUUGCAAUUUGAAAGAACCAUAAUAUCCUGCUUCUAACUUUUACCUAACAUUGCUUAAUUGAGGUCUUAUGUUGAAUAUGAUUCCAAAAAUCGGACCCUAUAAAAAAUUCUCCUCUCUACCAACAUUCAUGAGAACCGCAACAAAAUGAGGACCCCUUUUAGUUUGCAAAAAGCUCGAAAUGAAUCAUUAACAAAAGUUAAAAAUAAGAUAAAUUAACAAGAAAAUAUAGGAUUUGCAUCCUCUUACAAUUAAUUAAUUGUACUGCAUAAAAAGGUACGUAGCUGUGGAAAGCAAAAAUUAAUUUAAUGGUUGAGGGACUUCUUCAAUAUAAAAACGAUGGGGUAAAGUCUAAUUAAUUAUUGAAAAGAAAUUCAAAACACCAGAAUGAUGUGUACCCCCUUUAUGCUGCACAAAUCAUCAGCCACCAGAGGAUUAGAUUAGAUUCUACCACAAUUUUUCUUUGUCGUUUAUCUUAGAUCUCAUUCUUUGUAUUUUGUUUUGCACAUAAUUCGAAACAAAGCUAAUCGAAAUCCAACAUUAGAUUGCCUCUGCUUUAACCAUCAAAUUCAUCUUUGCCGGUGUUUGAAAUCCCAUUUCAUAUUACUUGGUAAAUACUUAAAUAUCAGAGUUUAAUUUGUUAUAUAUACUUUGCCGUGCACUGCUUAAGGGAAAUCUAAUUUCAUAUUGUUGUUAGAAUAAUUUAUUAUUUAUGUACUCUAAUUUAGAUUUUUAGUUAGAAAAAUAAAAGAGCAGAUAAGUUAUUUAUACUAUCAGUUAAUAAUUAAUAACCUGACCGAUAAAAAUGAUGAUAUUUAAAAGUCAUUAUAAACAUUAAUUAAGUUCAGUUGAUAAUGCCAAAAAAAAGGAAGUUCAGUUGAUAAGGAGAAUUCAUUUAAGGAAGAAAAAAACUCUCAUAAUAUCUACAAUUUAUUAACAAAAAUUCAUCCUAUUGUCUUGCUUAAAGAAUAUUAAAUUCAUUAAUUACAAUUGAGACUAAUAGGCAUUAAUUGAUUACAUCCCUACUGCAAUAAUAUUAAUAAUAAUUGACCAUACAGUGAGUGUUAUUUUUUUCAAUGUAUUUUUAGUAUUUUUUUAGAGAAUAUUUUUAGUAUCUUAAAAUAUGCCAAAAAUUUAUUUUAGUUUCUUUAAGAAAAUAAUAUGAUUUUAGUUUAUAUAUUUUAACAGAAAUAUAUGUUUCUUGUCUCUAAUAAAGUAAUAAUUAACUAAAACUACAUCACUUUUAACAAAUAUGAAAAAAUAAAAUACCAUUUAAAUUUGUAUAUAUUUUAUCCGUUCUUUUUCUUAUCAUUUGUGUGACGCGGAAGGUGUUCAGUGUAAGGAAAGAUUUGAUCCUAAAUUUGAACCUAGAACAAAAUGCCCAAGUGUCUCUGCCAGUUUGGUUGAUUCGAUGUUAUACGACAAUAGUUGACCAUAACAAAAUGUUAUGCGUCGAUGCACUUUACGCAACCACUUAAUUAAAAUUAUUGUCCAUUGAGUACUCCAUCUUAGAGAUCUAAAGUUGAAAUUCUAUUGGGACCAACUCCAACUGAAAUAGAACUUGUUAGAAGAGAAUAUUAUCUCAAUUUGCAAUUUUCAACCCCAAGUUAUUAAGAUGUAACUAAAAUACUCUUUUCAAAAUGUUAGUAUAAACUAGUAAAUUAUUGUGAGUUUACUACCAUAAUGUCCACACAUCUACUUUUUUUUUUAAAGGAGUAUUUUAGUGAUUUAACUAUGAUUUUCUUAAAAUAUAUUUUAUUAAAAUGCUUCUGCACACAUUAAUAAUAUGAAAUUAGAGUUAUUUUUUGAAAGGAAAACAAUAUUCCCAUUAAUAAUUACUAAAAUUUAAUUUAAUAUAUAAAUACUCUUUUUAAAAUAAACCGGUGAUUUAUUAUUUUUUUAUAAAUUCACAAUAUAUUUAUUUAAAUUUAAUUAGAAUGCACUAAUGAUUUAUGAAUAAAAAAUUAAUAUACUAAUCAUUUAUAUAAUGUUUACACUAUUAAUUAAUCAUAAAUCGUUAUGUAUCAUAAAAAUAAUUACUUCAAAAGUCAUUUUUAGGAUAAUUUCUAAUUGGUAAACAGGUUGACAUUUUUUAUAUUGACAGUAUAAAAAGCUUAAACUAUUUUAGUAACAUUCAUAAAAAUAGUUUAUUCAAUUUUUUAUGGUACCUGGUUAUUAUAAAAUAUAUAGUUACUCGUAGCCAAGUUAUCAGGUUCAAAAUUACCUCUAUUUUUUUCUUUCUAUUUCCUUUAUUACUAAGAUUUUGAUAAAAUAAAUAAAACGGAAAUGGUAUAUAUCAAAUGGAGAGUAACAACUAUUUUUUUCAAAGCUUAAUAACCAAAGAAAGGAAGUAAAAAAGAAAUAAAAUAAUAUUUUCUCAAUGAUCAGUUUCAAAUAUUUGUUCCUAGGAUUUUUAUCCAUGGUAAUUAUUGCUCUAUAUUUGUAUGGGUUGAGUGUGAACAUCCUUUUCUUGAGUUGAUGUGUCAAUGAAAUUGAUAAUUUAUUUGUUCAUUAUUAACAAAUAUUAACCGUAAGUUUAUUUUAAAAAAUUGUUAAUGAAAAUAAUUUAAAUCCAUAAUCUUAUUUUUCUCCCUCUAGUUAUUAAGUCAAUUUUAAUUUUUUUUUCUCUAAUUAUUUGGUAAAUUUUAUAACUUUUUUUCUCUUUAUUAAAUCAAUUUUAUAAGUUGACGACCACAAUCCAUGCUAUGGACACCGAGUUGGUGGCAAUGAUAAAUGCUACCCCAGAUUGUGAAAUGUGGAGCACUUGAGAGAGGUUGAGAAGUUUCCAGGCUCAGUAUAGCAUUAUUGCCUAUCUGGUCAAUUAUGAAAUCUUUUGCCUACAUAACCAUCACUCGCCAUUACCCAAAAGUGAUAAUUAGCCAAGCAAAAUUAAAUAACCCCGCGAAAGACUCUGUUUGCCAUGCCCAAUUAAAGUUUUCCAAUUUCAAUAUUUCAUGUGCCCCGCGGAAUACCGGAAUAAUUAAACUAGCUAGCUAUUGGUUUUUCCGUGUUCAUUGAGCUUUAGGUUAUAUUUAACUAAAUUAACUUAUCUGAAAAGAUAAUUGGUACUUGAAAAUAUAUUUUAUUAAAUUAAAAUAUUUGUUAAAAUCAACCGUUAAAAUAACUGAAAAAUAUAAAACAAUAAAAAAUAAUAAAUUAUUUAUUUAUUUAAAAAAGUAACAAGAAAAAUUAAUAAAUAUAUUAAAAAUAAAAGUAAAAUAAAAAAUAAAAAAAAUCAAAAGCUCACAUUUUAAAAAAUAUUACUUCAAGUAACAUUUUAAAAAAUAUUAAAAAUUAUUAAAAAGUUACUUAAAAAAAGUUUAUUUACCAAACAAUUAAAAUUAUAUUUAAUAAAAUAUUUAAGUUUCUAACUUUUUUAUUAGCUGAAAAUCUUAGUUAUUCAGUAAAUAAAUUGUUUUUAGUAUUUUCUCAUUAGCAUAUAUUAUUUUUUUAAAUAUUAUUUGAAGUAGUGUUUUUUAAAACGUUAGUUUGUAACUUAUAAUUUUUUUAUAUUUUUUUUCAGAUUUAUCCUAAAUAUUUGUAUUCAUUUUUCUUGUUAUCUUUUUUAGAUAAAUCAUUAUUUAUUAUUUUUUGUCAUUUUAUACUUUUCAACUACUUUAAUAAUUAACUUUAUCGAAUAUUUAUAUUUUAACUACCAAUUAAUUUUUUAAUUUUCAACUACCGAUUAAUUUUUUAGCUUUCAAUUAGUUUUUCAACUUUCAACUAUAAUUUUAUAAACAUAAUUAAAAUAAAUUUUUUUCGACUAAUAAAAAAAAACUAAAAAUGAACUCAAAUGUAUUGUGAAACAUAAUCUUAAUUUUACACACUUGAUUGAAUUUUGAAUAAGCUGUUUGGAUUGGAACAAGCUUCCUAAGUCACAAGUCAAUACUUUUCCAGCACAUUCUAAAAGCACAUGCCUUAGCAUCAAAAGUGAUGUACUACUACUACCCAUGCUUAAUGGCAUUUUCCACGGUUCCAUCGGAUUUUAGGGUAUGUUUGAGUAAACUUUUCUAUAGGAGAACUAGAAAAUAAGAAGAAAAAAUAAAAUAAAAUUUUCUACAAAUUAAAAUUAACUCUCGUUUAGUUAAGUAUUAAGUAAUUUGUAGACGUUUUCAUUUUUUAAGAAGAUAUAUAAAAUAAUUUUUACAAAUUAACUAAUGAAAAUUUAAUUUUAAUUCAUAGAAAAGUUUAUUUUUUUAUUCUUAUUUUUUUCUCAUAGAAAUGCUUCUAAAAAACUCGCCAAACAGGACUUUAGUUCUUUUAAAUUAUUUAUAAAAAAAAAAAGUAGAUAAGACACAACAUUCGGUCAUUAGUCUUAUAUUUUACUUGUUAUCAUUAAAAUUUGAGGGCUUAACCAUCUUGGUCUCAGCAGUAUCAUUAAUCGAUUUCCUAUUAGAAUUGAUAUAUAUUUAGGAGCGUUAAAAACAAAUUUAUGACGCCACAAAUUUUUAUUUGAAAAUUUAGCCCAAGUUAAAAUUCACCCCUGCGUUGUAUCUGAGCAUUAAUGUGGCUUUUAAAAUUAUAUGAACGACUUAUGCAGCGAUGUGAGUUAAUUCAUACGAAUUGGUUUAAUCAACAGAGAAUCAGAUAUCAUUCAAUAAUGUUCUACAAAUGUUUUAGAUCCAUUCUCUCUAUUUUUAAGGGAAGGCCUAUUACUAUCUUGCUUUGGCUUUUGGCACGUACUUCCCCUCAAAGUUUUUUUGUAAAAAAAAAAUAAAAAUUGUAACUUGGGUGGAAGAAUCAUAACCUUAUGCUUAAUCAAUUUUUAUUAAAUCAGUUGAAUGUCCUUAUCACUAUAACCGACCCAGAAAAGAGGAUUUGAUCAAUUUGAUUGUGACGUUACUCAAUCAAUGGAGAGGAGAUAGCGAAAUUGUAAGAAGAAAAUCAGUUGUCCCUGAUACGUGGCAAUUAACAGGGAAUGAUGCUUGCAAAAUGUUGGUAUCAAUUUCUAGACUAUAUUAUAAACUAUAAAGUAUAUGUGAAUGUCCCAGACCACGAUGAGGAAUGUGACUCUGUGAGUAACCUGAGUCCAAGUUUCUGGCCCUAAAUUCUAUAGUGUCUUUCUAAAGAAGGACAUCCUCAAAGAUAAGAUUGCCAAAUAUGGAUUGAGAUUUAAUUCUAUCAUGCCAAAUGCCAAGCAUGGUGUCGAGCAAACGAGAAAGUUCAAAAGAAGUAGCUCACUAAUAAAUUUAGAGAGUAUUAUCAGGACAAUAAUUAAAAUAAAAUUAUAGAUAAAUAUUCAUUUUUAUUUUUCAAUGUGUAAUUUAUUGAUAAUUAUGUUUCUAAAAUAUGAAAAUACAAAAUUUAGUUUUUGAAAUAGUAAAAAAUGCGAUAAAUAUAUCUCGUUUGUCACCAUUAAUAAAAUAGCCUACAUGACAUAUAAAGACAAAUUUGUUAUUGGUCAUCUUUAAUUGUCAGUAUAGGAAAAUAUUUGUUAUAUAAUAUUUCUUUGACUUUAUAUAACGGAAAUAGACAUUGGUGUAAUAUAAUUCUCCCAAAAUUUUGUUACAAAUAUUAUAAUUUUUUUAAAAUUAUAAUAAUUAAUCACAAUCUAUUAUUAACGACCGAAUAUAUUUGUCGUACAUUUUAUACUUUCAAAGACUAAAUUUUACAUUUUUAUUUUUCAGACAUGCAUUUAUUAGCAAAGUGGGAAGAUAAAAAGUAAAAAGAUAUUAUUGACAAAUAUUUCAUUAUGCUGACAAUUAGAAGUGGUCACAUCGGCCAUCAGAUAUGGUCACAAUUAGAGAUGAUCACAUUGACAAUCAUUUCAGCAACAAAUUCAUCUCUCUCUGAUAACGUAAACUAUUUUAUUAACGGUGACGAACGAAAGUUAACGGGCUGAAUACAUUUGUCGCACUUUUUACAUUUUUUCAAUGACUAAAUUUUAUAUUUUCAUUUUUUAGGGACACAUUUAUUAGUCAAUUACUAUUUAUCCUAAAAUUAUUUAUUAAUUUCUCAACGAUAUACUCCAAGAAUUCUUUUAAUCUUAUUAUCUGCAUAAAAAGUUUCGAUGCGUUUUAAAAAAUGGCUAGUUAACUAUCUGAUGAUUGUCUGCCUCUUAGUCUUAGGUACACUUGAAGUGGUAGACUGCGCCGCAUAUUCAUUAUUCAAUGGCAGCAGCAGCUACAAAACCUACCGGCAAAAAAAUAUAUAUAUAUAUAUAUAUUUAAAAUCACCGUUCGAGUAUUUUUUAAAAUCUUUAAAUCUUUAACAAACUAUUCUUUAUUGAUCACUGUUUUACUUUAUUUGUUAUUCUGCAAAAAAAAAUGUCCUCAUUUUGCUUUCAAUCCAUACCAAUUUCUCUCUGAUAAACCUACUAAAUGGACCUCAUGGUAAGAAUUUUGAAUAAUUUACACAGUCUUUUAAAUUCUAAUUUCAUUGUCACUACUGUAAUAAAAAUAAGCUGAUUAAAAAAACUGUAAUAAACAUAUAGUUCCCGAUGAUAAUUACCACAACUGAUUGGUAAAUUGCACUCAACUUUGCAAGUAAGGCUUGAAUUCGACAUUUUAUUUAAAAGAUUCGAGCUCAACAAAAUUUAUGAAUAGUUAAUUUUUUUUACCUUAUUAAACUUAAUUUUGUAAUGUUGUGACAUAGUAUAAUAAUAGUUUAAAUUGGGACUUUUCCUGGAUAGUGAAAUAUUGCAAGAAUCCGUCCAUUCGAACCACUGACUAUCCUAAAGCCCAAUCAACAUACAAAUUAAAUGGGUUGAACAUGGCUACGCAUACUUAGAGCCCAUGGCUGCGAACAUGACAAUAGAAAUGAAAAUUGGUCAGGCUUGAUGAAGAAAUGUUCUAUUUCUGUUUGUGUAUUAAUUAUGGAAGGACAAAAUUAAUUUGAUUAAAAAUUAUAUUUACAGUUAAGGAUGUAUCAGAAUAUAUGCUAAAUAUUGUUUUCACUGACUCAAGGUCUCGAUCUAUCUUGAACAAAAAGCUAUUAUAGAUAGUCAGUCAUAUUUUUCUCUAGAUAUUAAUCAUAAAAAGUUUGUGAAUAUUUCACGUUAUGGUGAAAAAAAUGGUAGUUUAAUUAAUAAAUACCCAUAUUUUUUUAUGAAUAAUAUGAAGAAAAAUUAAAACUCUAUAAAGAAAUACAAGUUAAAUAAUCUCUAAGCGCAUAACAAUAAAAUCUAGAACAAACUAAAAAAAAAGGGAUUUUUUUUUUAAAGGAAGGAAACGGUGCCAAAGGAAAUCUAACUCGGGUCAAGCACAUUCUGAAAAACUGAAACCUAUUCCGCAGCAUACAUUACCCAUUACUGUAAGCAGAAAUGCUAUUAACAUACUUUUUAUUAUGGGUUUAUCUAAUUGAACCCAGAUGAAAAAUGGGAUUAAAGAACUUCAUCUUUUAUAAUCAAUAAAAUUUAAAUAAUUAUCUUAUUUUAUUAUUAUAGUUAAUGCAUUGUCUUUUGUUUCUCAUGUCAUAUAACUCAUUUAUCACACAUUUUAUUUUAUUGAUACAAUUUAUAAGAAUAACACAUUAAUACUUUAUUUUCUUUCCAAUAUUUUCAUUAUAUACCUUCUUUUAUUUUUUAUUUUUACCGAAUAUACCUUCAUUUAUCACACACAUUUGUUAUUUUUAUUUUAUUCAUUUCGAAACUUAUAGCUAGGUAUAAUACUUCUAUUUUUUUUUCUAAUGUUGUCAUUGUAAUUCUAAAUAAAAAAUAAAGAUAAAGAGUAACAUUGUUAAUUAAAAAUUAUAAAAAUUAAAAUAACUCUUUAUAAUUUGAUAAAAAAUAUAAAAAAUGUUACUCUUUAAUGAUACAGAGUAUAUGACAUGAGAGAGAAAAGGAUUCUCAACAUAUAGAGUUAGUUAUGCACUAACGAUUUUCUAUUAGUUAGAAGCAGUUAUAGUUAAUUGUAUUUUUUGCUAGUUAGAUUGACAUCGAGAACUGAUUGUAUAUAAGUUAAAACACAUGCAUUCAUCAUUCAUUCUUUCAAUAAGAUUCAUUCAAUUCAUUUGAUCUACUAUUGUUUUCUCUACAACCUUUUGCUUCUUUCUAUGUUUGUUUAUGUUCAUCAUGAACUUUAUGAUGGUAUCAGAGCUCUUCACUUGAAGACCUUUGUUGCACAUCCUCUGAUUUCGUUUUCUUUUUCAUCUUUGAUCAUCAUGAAUCAGAGUCAAGAUACUCUGCAAGAUUCAUCCCAAAAUGUUCAUAGCCCUUACUACUUACUCCUUAGUGAGAAUUGAGCUACGCCAUUGGUUUCACCUGUCUUUGAUCCCAUGAAUUAAAAUUCAUGGAGUAGGUCAAUGCCCACUACAUUGAGUGCAGAGAAUAAAGUAGAGUUCAAUGAUGGAACAAUUCACAGGCCUACGUCGAACCAUGUGUUGUUUCUAGCGUAGAAGAAAUGCAAUAAUAUGGUGGUUUCAUGGUUAGUGCAUUCUGUGUCAACUUCGAUUAGGCAAAGCAUUUUGUGGCUUGAUGAUGCAGUAGACAUUUGGAAAAACUUAAAGUCGCGAUACUUCCAAGGAGAUUUGCCAAGGAUCUUUGAUUUGCAACGGGAAUUAGUAACAAUCAAACAAGGUGAUUCUUCCAUUACAUAAUACUUUACAAAAUUGCGUGUAAUAUGGGACGAAUUAGAAAGCUAUAAACCAUAUUCUUUUUGUGUUUGUGCAACUAAAUGUACCUGCAAUUCAGUUAUUGAUAUAAUGCAAAGAAAAAUCUAAUACCAGGAGUGUCUUCCUCAAGUGCACCCGUUGUUCAUAUUUCCAACGACUCUCUUUCAAGUUAUUCACUUAUUCAUGAGUCUUAAAGUACUUCCUUAGAUUUGGUUCCAUUUUAUCAUCCUCUUCGAAAGUCUGAAAGACAAAUACUAAGGCCACAAAAGUUUCAUGACUUUCACAUCAAGUAUACAUCAACUGUUAUCACUUAUUAACCAGACAUUAGAUAUCCUUUAUCCUUAGUUUUAUCUUAUGACAAAUUGUCACCAUCUUAUCAUAAUAUUAUCCUGCCUAUUACUGCUUAAACUAAGCCUAAGAGUUAUACUAAGGCAGUCGAGUCUGAUCAAUGGGUCAAGGCUAUGCAAGAUGAAAUUGCAGCAUUGGAAAGAAAUCAUACUUAGGUUGUCACUGGCUUGCCUCUCAACAAAUCUACUAUUGGAUGUCGUUGAAUUUAUAAAAUCAAGCAUCAUGUUGAUGGUUCUAUAGAAAGGUACAAAGCUCACCUUGUUGCUAAAGGCUACACUCAAGUCAAGGGCCAAGAUUAUCUGGAUACAUUUUCUCCUGUUGCUAAAAUAACCACAAUACUAUUGCUUGUUGCACUUGCCUCAAUCAAUAAUUGGCAUCUUAAACAACUAGAUGUCAAUAAUGAUUUUUUGCAUGAAGAUUUAAGUGAAUAAGUCUAUAUGAUCAUGCCUCUUAGAUUACCAAUAUCUAAAGCAGGCCAGGUCUGCAAAUUGCAUAUACCUUUUUAUGGCAUGAACAAUGCAGGACUAUUAACUUUUCUCAUAUCUCAUGGAUAUCAACAAUCCAUCUCUGAUUAUUCCUUGUUCACUAAGAAACAAGAUGGCUCUUUCACUGCUCUCUUUGUACAUGUUGACGAUAUAGUCCUUUUUGGAAACAAUUUGCCAAAAAUAUCCCAUAUUACACAACUGCUAAAUGACAAAUUUAAAAUCAAAGAUCUUGGCAAUAUGAAAUUCUUUCUAAGCUUUGAAGUGGCUUGUAGCAACACAAGUAACAACUUUUGUCAAAGGAAAUAUGCACUAGAGAUCCUCUUUGAUGCCAGAAUGCUUGGUUGCAAACCUAUUUCAACCUCCAUUAAUGCUAGAAUGCUUGGUACACGACUUCAUCAAAAUUCAAACAUUGUUUUGUUUGAAGCAAAAACUUCUUCAUUUAGAAGACUCAUUAGUCGCCUUAUCUACCUCACAAACACUCGUCCAAAUAUCACUUUUGUUGUUCAAAUUCUCAGCCAAUAUGUUUUACACCUUACAUCAGCUCACUAGUAAGCUAGUUUUCGCAUCCUACGAUAUAUCAAAGAUGCUUUCGAUCUUCCCUUAUUUCCUGCUACCAGUGAAAUUCAAUUGAAGGCAUUCAGUGACUUUGAUUGGGUGGGUUACGUUGACACCGCAGGUCCAUAACUAUUUUCUUUGUCUAUUUAGGCUCUUCUCUUAUAGCUUGAAAUCCAAAAAGCAAGCCACCGUUUCCAAAAGCUCUUAUGAAGCCAAGUAUCAGGCACUUACUAGUGUUGCUUGUGAGUUGCAAUGGCUCACAUACUUACUGAUCUAUGUAUAUCUUCCAAGCAAGUCUUACUUUUUUUGUGAUAAUCAUUCAACCCUUCAUAUUGUUGCCAACCCUGUGUUUCAUGAGCGCACAAAGCACAUGAAAAUUGACUGCCACAUUGUAUGCGAGAGAUUACUUUCAGGCUCGAUCAAGCUUCUUCCUAUUUUUCCAACCAAUCAACUUGCUGACAUAUUCACCAAAGCUUUAUCUCCUCAUGCUUUUCAUCUUUUACAGCUCAAGCUAGAAAUGUCUAACAUACAUUCCUCAGCUUAAGGAGGGCUUUCAGCAUAUAGAAUUAGUUAUGCACUAAUUGUUUUCUAUUAUGACAAUUAAAAGCAAUUAUAGUUAGUUGUAUUUUUUGUUAGUUAGAUUGACGCCCAAAGCUGAUUGUAUAUAAGUUGAAACACAUGUAUUAAUCAUUUCAUUCUUUCAAUGAGAUUCAUUCAGUCCAUUUGAUCAAUUGUUGCUUUCUCUACAACCUUUUGAUUCUUUUUGGGUUCGUUCAUGUUCAUCAUGAAUUUUGUGAAACAUAAUGCAUUAAAUAUGAUAAUGAUUGCAUUAAUGAUAAAAUAUUCUUGAUUAUAAAAAAUGAGGUUGUUGAAUUCCAUUUUUUACUUGGUGUCAAUUAGAUCAACCCUUUUGUUAUUUGCUGAAAUUUUUCAGUAAAAAAAACAAAAAUAAAGCCCAACCCGGGACUCACUCUCUUUCAUUCAGCGCUUAAGCCUGAAGAAAAUCACUGCGUAAUGUGUUGUGUGAAGAAUGAAAAUAUAGCUCAAUUUUUAUGCUAAUGCAUUUUAAAAUCAUAAACGAGUUUGUUUAGUUCCACAUUUUUUUAUAAGAUUUCCCUAAAUUCAGUUUAUUCUUAAUUUCCGACUUCCUACAAGAAGCCAAUCAAAAUUGAACUACAAAAUUUACAGUAUAAGUUUUUAAACUAUAAGAAUCUAUUUAAUUUUUUUAAUGAUGCAUGAACAUGUAGAUUAACUUACCUUUUUUUUUUGGCGUAUUCUACAUUGAAGCAAUGUUAUAAUGAUAUAUAUGACCAUGGGGUUUGUAGGCCAUAGGGUAUCCUCGAGGAAGUGCCAAGGGUACCUUUGUAUAAUAUAUUAAUGAGUAGUGAACAAAACUUGAUAUCAAAAGUGCAUCAAGGAACACAAACAUUUAGGAGAUCUGAGAGACCCUUUUUAGAUUGUCGUGGUUCUCAAUAAACUUUUUCAUAGAAAAAUAAGGGAGGGUUUCCACUGUCCACUGAGCUGCAAAGUACAAAUACAACCGCCCUAUGCUUUUUAAUCCAAUUUCUUGCGGAAACCACGUCAACUAUGUUGUAAUACUAGUACAAUUGUUGUUUGGUUUUAAAAGUGCUUAUCUGCAAGUUUGAGAUGAUACUUGAUCUUGAAACUAUUAAUCAAAUUAAUGACAUGUGGAGAUGAAUUAAUUUCCAAUACGAGAGAAAAGGAAACAAAACUAUCACGGCUCUUUAUUUAGAAAAAUCCCUCUAAGCUCCUUGUCAUUAAAUUAAAUAUUUAAUGCGAUUAACGUAAUUAAUAGAACCCACCAAAACUAUAAAAUUCAGGUCAUAGAACCAUAUUUGUGAAAGUUGGAAGACAUGACAUCAAUUAUAUACCAAAUCCCGCUGUCCACUGCUACCAACAAUUUCCUGGUUAUUCGGGUCAAUGCAAAAAUUUGAAUUAAUUUUAGUUAAUCUAUGCAAACAAGGACGGGAUUCAAAUUCUCUAUCAAAGGAUUAAGUGUGUAUUUAAAUGAAUAUUCACAUAAUUAAUUUUAAAUAAAAUAAAUUUUAAUUAGAAUUGAUUUAAAAACCAACAUGUGAAAAAUUAUUUAAAAUUAAUUUUAAACUCAAAUUUAAUUCCAUAACGUUAAAUCAAGCAUACACCAAUAUCUUAUAUAACUUAUAGCUCCUCACACGAGAAAUAAGAAAUGGACAAAAAUGAGAAUGGGGACUAAUGCCUAAAAUUUAAUGCCAUGGACCCCAAAUAUACGUGAAAGUUGAAUGAUUGGACAUUUUUGCAGGCAAGAAGUAGUGAGCGAGAGCGACGUGAGAAUACAAACAGUCCCUUCUGUGCCGUUUCAUGACUACGAACAAAAUGCUUGAUCAAAUCAGAAAUCCCAGCUAUUUCCAUUUUCUUCUUUACUUUAGCACAUUGUCAUAGAUGCACUACUAAGUUAUUUGAUAAACAACAAACACAUAACAGUGAUUGUUAGGGUCACUCUAUUUUUCGUAGUCACAAUAUUGCUAAUAUUGAGAUAGCAACUAAGAUGAAAAUUAUCCCUACCAAAAUUUGUAACUAACACAAUAUGGCAACAUUACAUGUUAAGCUGCAGUUCAUUAAAACAAUUUGGAAGAGCAUACUUUUUUUAAAUCGCCAAAAUGUUAAUUGGUAAUUUUUUUGUUAGAGGAGAAGUCGAAUAUGUGACAUUUCAACACUAAACAUAAACAAAACUUCUUGUUAGGCAGAAAUUUGUCUUUAAAAAUAUAGAAUGUCCCCAUACUUUGAUGCAAUCGGAAAGUAUGAAAUAAUUUAAAAAUUUAAAUUCUAAUAAUUGUACAAUCAAAUUUGAUUUCAGUCAAAAAGAUAGAUAAAUGUAGAUACACAACAACAAUCGGUGCACGUGGCUUGUAAAGUUGGUUUCUUCCAUUAACUCUAUUUGUUACACACCGCAUUAAUUAACAUCUUCAGACCCACUUAGGUAGUAGAAUUAAACCGAAACAAAGUGGGUGAUCCCUUUUUGAAGCAGAGGUAAUGUACAGAGGAAUGCUGCUACUCUAAGGCUUUUUUUUUUUUUUUUUUUCUUUCUAAGACAAAAAUGUAUUCCAAAAAUCUUCUUUUCUGAGUUCUGACCAAUGCAGAAUUCAUUCACCUCCUUCAAGCUGCUUUUUGUACAGCGGUCUUAAAUAAGAGGAUGUAUAAUUUUUGAUCCAUGGAGAAAUAUAGAAACCCUCCAACAGAAUGGGUCACAAAAGACCCAAAACUAGUCCCCACAAUACAGUGCCAUGCCGGUCCAUACACCCCAUCAAAUUCCUGCAAAAUCACAACCACCCAACCGAAUUCCAUUGACCAACCAAUCAAACCACAGAGACAAAAUUUUGAAUCACCAAAUGGGUUGAUAUCAAUUUAGUCCCCAAAUUUUUAAGAACUGACUAAAUCAAUAAUUAUGCCUCACCCAAACUUACUAGUAAGUCCCAACACAAGAACAAAUUAAUUAAUUAAUCUAGCAAAUUUUUUAAAAAAUCAAUUCAAUAAUAAUAAUAAUACAAUACAAUGAUUAUUACAAAAUUGUACCUUCUUGAGGGAGAGUGCAAGGGUUUUGGAUGUGAACUUCUCCAUGCUAUCUAUGGCCUUUCUAGCACAAUCCACAGCAUGGAUCUGCAUAAAGGGUGGCAUAUCAACCGAAACCAUUUUGGCACCAUUGAUUGCAAAGACAUCUCUUAAAUUAGCCUGUGUUCCACAGAAGGAUCUCCUUCUACCCCCACCCGGAGCCAAAGACGACACGGACAUUCUCUCAGCAGCAGCAACAACAACAACAUCAUGUUUCUCCAAAUGAGGAUUCCUAGGUUUUCCUUUUACAACCUUAGCAUCCUCGACCAUGCCCUUAUCAUUAUGAUCACCAAGUUCCCUCCUUUCCAAUUUCAAACAGUGCCUUUGGGGCUUCUCUUUGUGGGUUCUCUUCACAGGCACAGUAACAGAACUCUCUUUCUCUUGUAUGGCUUUGGCCUGCAAAUGGGUGUCAAUAAGAGGAGAGUGUUUUUGGGGUGGACGGGUUUUGUGGGGUUGACUCAAGUUUAGGUUUGUCAAGUGUUUUACUAAGAAAGAGGGUUUAUAGGUUUGGAUGAGAUCUGGGUUUGGGGUUGUAGGGUUAGAUUCUGGAGCUGCUAGAUUCCGACGCUGUAAGGGGUAGUGUGCCAUGAUAGAACGGUAUUGGAAAAUGGAGAAGGUGGAAACUGGAAAAAUGGACAGUGACUUUUUUUUUUCUCCUGCGGUUUGGUUUUGUUUUGUUUGUCGGAGAAAAGAUAAUCAGAUACAGAUAGUGAGAUAGAUAGAUGGGAUUUGUAAUGUAGAGUUGUGUUGUAUUGUUAUAUGUAUUGUAGUAGUUCGAGGGAAAGUAAUAACUUGUGUUUGAGUAGAAGAUUGUAAAUAAAUUAUUAUUUUUGUCUUUAAUUUUAAUUUAUUUUUAUUUGUUGGAUUUACUUGUAUGCAGGAUUGCAUUUUCAAUUUAAAUUCAAAUCCACGCUUAAACCGAAGAUAACAAAGGUGGAGGUGGUGGUCAACUUAUGUCUUCAUUACAACUUAUACUGUGCACUAGAUGGGGACUUGUGUGGUGAGAUAAAACAAUAGUGGUAAUGAAUUCACUAAAAUCUGAGUCAUAUUUUUCAACAUAGUUUCUUGUAAAGAAAAAUUAUUUGACAAACUCCAUAAAUCUUUUAUAUCAUAUGAUUAAAAAAAAUGAUGUUUAAUUCCCUCACGCACCAUGGGGACAGUGGGACCGGGGAUGGGGAGUUGUUGACCGUUGACCGGAUACUCUUACGUUACGUAUGAGAAUGGGUAUUGGGCACAGGUUUGUAAUAGUAGGGUAGGGUAGGUAAGGGCCAUGGGUACAGAAUAGAUUAUUAUUGGGAUUACUGUUGAUUGGUAUUUUGAAGUUUUUCAGAAAAUGGUUUUAUUGCUGUUGUUGCAUUGUUAAAUAUGAUGUUUAAAAUUUUGUAGGGUUGUGUAAAGGAAGGCUAAGGCUUGUGUAUUCAAAUGUUUCAUUGUAAUCGUGUUUCUAGAUUCCUAGUCAUAUCAUAGCACACAUGUGGGCGAUGAUGGAGUCGUAAUUGUUGUUCGGUCUUUGUUAGUUAAAGGCCAAUGGGGAAGGAAAAUGCUGCCAUGAUGGACGCUUUACAUGUCAUUAAUUGGAAGGACAAUUUGCUUUCCCCUUUUAAUCUAACAACGUUCAUGUACACAUUAAUUACUAAAAUUUAUUAUUCUUUGAACAUUUAUAUCAUUGGCUCAUCUAAAAUUUAAAAGCAAAGAGUUAUUUAAAAUGCUAUCUAAGCUUAAAGUACUUUCCAAGCUUAAUUUAUUUUAAAUUAACAAUAAAUAAAUUGAUAAUUUUUUAUUUUACAAGAGUUGAAUUUUAUUAGAAGUAUUUUAAUUGAAAGAUUGAAAAGUUAACUUACUGAGUUAUACUGUUCAGUAAUGUGCAAUGCUAUAAGAAUAUAUAUAUAUAUAUAUAUAUAUAUAUAUAUAUAUAUAUAUAUAUAUAUAUAUAUAUAUAUAUGAUUCUCUAUACAUUUUUUUAAUUUGUGAAUAAAAUAUCUUUAUUAAAAAAAUUUAUAAAUAUUGUAAUAUUAAAUAAAAAAUGUUGAAAUAAUAGUAUAAUGUUUAUUGGGAAAAUAUAUAAAAUUUUAUUAUUAGUAAUAAGUUCAAAUGAAAUUUUAAAUAUAACAAGAACAAAAAUCUUAUCUUAUCUUUUUUUUUUUUUUAUAAAAAAAGAACAAAAGUCUUAUGGUAGUAGGUGACGUUAAUAACUAUAUUAAUCAUACAAUGCUAUUAGACUCGCUUAAAGAUUAAAAUUUAAAGAUAUUAUUUAUCAUAAAAAUUAUUUCUUUCAAAUAAUAAUUUUAAAUUUUUUAAAAUGUAUUAAAAUAUAUAAAUAAGUUAGUCAAACAUAUCAUCAAUCACGAUGACAUCAAUAUUUUUUUUUGUCUAAUUUUGGUUGACAGGCUAAACACAGAUUAAAAUUGCUUAAUUUUUAAAACGUUGUAAACAAAAAGGUUUAAUUCACAUUGAUGUGAUGAUUAACAUCGAGUGCUUUGAAAAUAAAAGAUGUUAUAAAAUAAUAUUGAAAUAACGUUUACUGUUCAGUAUAGUGUGGACAAAUAGAGCAGAACCUUUUAUACUAAUUCAAUUCCCCAUCACAUUUCUCCUUUUCAAAUUUCUCAAACUACAUCUAUGAAUGUUCUGACAAUGGAAGAACGGAAAUGCAUAACAAUUUAUUCUUUAAGUUGAAAUUUUAGUUCGAUAUCAAAUAAUAAGAGAGAAGCAUCAUGGAAGAUCUUUAUGAUUGUAUCCUUGACAUUAGCAAAGGACUUGUUUCUUUGAGUUAAAACUCUUAAUAAAUGCAUAACGUACACUCAUCAUAUUUCACGUCUUAAAUUAAUUGCUUUAAAUUUUGAAUUAUUAAUAGGAUACUAGUAGUAUACUCAUAAAGGAUCAGAAUUCGUUCAAUUAUAUCAGGAAAAAAUAGUUCAAAAGUAUAGAUGUAAUAUUUUCGUAAAUACACUAGCCCGUGAUCAUAUAAAGUAAUAAACCUGAAUCAGUGACAUUUGGUAAGAAACUAAAAAAGAAGACAAACCAUAUUUGACUUUUCCUUCGCUCGAUCUUGAUGAUAGAAGAUUUCAGCAGUCAUAUAAUAUCAAACAUUGUAUUGCACGUUGAAAUUUAGAGACUGAUGGACACUUUAGUAUCAAAUACAUUUUUUUAGCUUCAUAAGUCAAUAUGUUAUUAUUAAGUGAUUCUUAUGGAUUGGUCGAAGUGAAUAACCUAACUUAGGCUAAAAUUUAUUACAGUCCCGCUAUUAUUUCCUGUUGUCACGUCCCAUUACAUCUUGGAAACUCAAUACCCCAAGUUAAGAUGAACUAGAGCCCAACUUUAAACACGUGUUUAGAAAAUUUUUGGUCCCAUUUCAUUUCUUCUGCAAAAUAAUGGAAUUGCUAUUCUUACUCAUAAAUUUGAGAUUCACACUUCUCACGUGGCUUUAGAUUUUGUUUUGAGAAUAUACUAUUUUCACUUAAAUAAAAUUUCAGUGAGAAAUACAAAAAAGGAAAUAUGUUUUCGUUAGAUAAGAAAUAAUAAAAACUCACUACCGAUAAAUACAAUAUGUCUUUUGUUAAGAAUAAAAAAUAUUUAAUAUCCUUUUUGGGAUAAAUUUAACGUCUCAAAUUAAAAAGAAGUGUGGAAAUUUGUAUCCCAAGACAGAAUAGGAAUUAAAUCAAACUUCUUAAAACCAAAUUAAAUAGUAAUAACAUGGUAUAAUGGUGGUAUCGCACGGUUUCAAGCUGGAUGGAAUUGGAAAGUGGAAAGUUAUGUACCGAAAAAAAGCUGAAUGGAAAGUGACCUGAAAAUGUUGCAGGAAAAUAGUGCACUUGAGAUUCAUCAACAUCAACAUCACCACGCCAACGAGCCCUUCUUGCUUAGCUAAUCCAUCAACGACUACGCCACGUUUAAUGCUACCAUCAAUUUCAAAUUUUCAAAUUCAUCAUCACAUACAUCACUCCCCAUUGCAACAAAAUGCCAUCAACAACAAACACGACGUCGUCACGGUCACCACCGCCAACCUGAAACCAAUUUCUGAAGCCAAAACUAGAGAUGAAAAGAGGGAACAAUUUGGUCGCAUUGAGCAGACAACGAUCCAUUCAGAUUCUCAUCGCCAUUGCGUUCUUGUACGUCCUCUUCUUCACCCUCGAAAUCCCCCUCGUCUUCAGAAUCGCCCAAAAACAACGACCCACUCACACCCGCCGUCAACUCGUUCGCCGCCAAAACGGCGUCGUCUCCGCCUUGAUCCUAAACGACGCCGCGUUCGAUUCGGAGCUCUACCAAUCCUCCUGCCGCGCCGGAAAAGCCAUCUGGGAAGAACUAAAACUAAAAUCACGGAGCCCGCGAGGCCUCAUUUCUAAGCCCGAGAACCGAUCUGGGCCGUGCCCGGGAUCCGUCUCCGUGUCCGGGCCCGAGUUUCUGGGCCGCGGGAGUUUGAUGAUGAUUCCGUGUGGGCUUACGUUGGGUUCCCACGUAACGGUGGUUGGGAAGCCGUCAAGGGUGCAACGGAAGACGUGUCAGUUCGUGAUGGAGUUGCUGGGGCUGAAGACGGUGGAGGGUGAGGAACCGCCCAGGGUGCUACAUUUCAACCCUAGGUUGAAAGGGGAUUGGAGUUGGAAGCCCGUGAUUGAACUCAACACGUGUUACCGCAUGCAUUGGGGUACUGCCUUGCGAUGUGAUGGUUGGAAAUCCAGAGCUGGUGAAGAUACUGGUAAGAAAAAUUAUGUUUAUAUUCACUAUGGUUGUGAUGUAUGAAGCAAAUUCGAUACCGAUACCUUUUGGAUACUUCAGCUAUUUGUGAAGUAUCCAAGCCUUAAAAAAGUUAUGGAAAUCCAAUACGAAUAUAAUAUAGAACCAUAGAAGCACUAAAGAUGGAAAUUGUUGAUUACAAGAAAGGAGUGAGAUUGAUACUACUCCUACUUAUAGACAAUAGGAACUGAUUUAUAAUCACAAUAAUAGUAGAUAUAAGGUGGGUUACAUGAUUAAGGGAGAAGGGGGGAGAGAAAAGGUCACGGGUUCAAUCUUCUCGGCUAACAAACUAACAUUUAUCAAUAAAAAAAAUCACAAUGAUUUAUAAUUUUUAUUUGUUUUUCACAAUGUCCAAGAAGUAUGAUCUUAAUUUGAAUUUGCAAAAUUGCAAUUAUAUAUUUUUUUAUACAUAUUCAGAUAUAUCUUGUAUGUGUCAUGUGCUAUAUGUUUUUUUGAGAAUAAUUGUAUCGUUGUUGUAUUGUAUCUGAUACACUUAUAGCAUCCAUGCAUCAUAAGUUAUGAUCGGGAUGAAUUAAGUUGUUGCUUGUGUUUGAUACAGUUGAUGGGUUGUUGAAGUGUGAGAAGUGGAUUAGGGGUGAUGAAGAUAAUAGGGAUGCAGUGGAGACCAAGGCAGCGUGGUGGUUGAAGAGAUUGAUAGGGCGAACAAAACGAGUAAAUGUUGACUGGCCAUUUCCAUUUUCUGAGAACAAGCUAUUUAUUCUUACUCUUAGUGCUGGAUUUGAGGGUUUCCAUAUUAAUGUUGAUGGGAGGCAUGUGACCUCUUUUCCUUAUCGCACUGUGGGUAAUCAAUGUUCUUCAACUUAUCAGCUUGAAGAGGGUUCUGCUAUAUAAUAAUGUUAAUGUUUCAAUUUGAACAGGGAUUUACUCUUGAGGAUGCCACUGGUCUUACUUUGAGUGGGGACAUUGAUGUCCAUUCUGUAUUUGCUGCUUCUUUGCCUUCGGUGCAUCCUAAUGUUUCUUCGCAGCAGCAUCUUGAAUUUUCAACCAGAUGGCGUGCGCCAAAUCUUCCUCGCUAUGGUGUGGAAUUGUUUGUAGGGAUCCUUUCAGCUGGAAACCAUUUUGCUGAGCGGAUGGCUGUGAGGAAGUCAUGGAUGCAGCAUAGCUUUAUCAAAUCUUCUAAAGUGGUCACUCGUUUCUUUGUAGCACUGGUAACGCGAACAAGUUUCUCAAUUUUAUUGUUACUUUGUUUGUUGUGUAGGUUUCUUAAUAGUUGAAAGGUUUUAACAGCACCCGAGGAAAGAAAUUAAUGUGGAGUUAAAGAAGGAAGCAGAAUAUUUUGGUGAUAUUGUUAUAGUUCCUUACAUUGAUAACUAUGACCUUGUUGUGUUGAAAACGAUGGCCAUAUGUGAAUAUGGGGUAAGUUGUUGAUUGCUCAAAGAUCUUUCAGUUUGAUAAAGGAAAUAGUUUUAAGUUAAUAUAUGAGAUGUGUUGUGCUGUUCACAGGUUCACACAGUUUCUGCGGAGUAUAUCAUGAAAGGUGAUGAUGACACUUUUGUAAAAAUUGAUGCUGUUAUGAAUCAAGCAAGGAAUGUUCCACGUUCUAUGAGCUUUUAUAUUGGGAACAUUAAUUACCGACACAAACCCUUGCGCUGGGGUAAAUGGGCUGUGACAUAUAAGGUAAUCAGAACCUGUUGGCUGCUGCAAUGCUUUUAUCAUAGUUAAUUAAGCAGUGAGCAUUGUCUGGGAAAAAUAUUUGUGUUGUAAUGUCACUAACAAAGUGUCUAUAUUUGAUCCAAAGAAUGUAUGAUCUGUGCAUGAGCACAGUUUCUUUAGGCACAACUAAGCAAAAGCUCAAUUCAAUAUUAUGAUAUUAAAAUAACUUCAGUACCGACUUGACCUUAACACAUACUUCAUUGUUAUUUUAAUACUUUGCUAGCUUUUGAUUGGUUGUGGUUAUAAGCAUUGCGCGUAUACCAUAAUUAUUCUGUGCAAGAAUUGCUAUUCUUCCCUCUCUGCAACCAGCCAUCAGGUCCCCAUUGUUUAUGGUUAGCACCUAACCUAGUUGCAGGCUUGCAGCACCAUAGUCAGUUGUCCGAAUUUUAUGGGCUGGAGACCACGAUCCCUAACUGAAUUUAACAUUCAGUGAAAUGCUUUAUUAAGUAUUCAGAGCACUUACUUUAAUAGAAUGGGCUGUGAUUGAUUUAACAAAGGCUCUUGCUUCCUUACUGUUGUCACAUCUAACUUCUUGCUGGUGAUAAUUUAUUGUUCUCUUCUGCUUUCAGGAGUGGCCAGAAGAGGAAUACCCACCCUAUGCAAAUGGACCGGGUUAUAUUUUGUCUUCUGAUAUUGCACACUACAUUAUAUCUGAAUUUGAGAUGCAUAAAUUAAGGGUUAGUGUACUACUAUUUCAUUGCUCAUUCUCUCUGUUGUCCUGUAAUGUCUCCCAGUAUCUUGAUGCUGGUGCAUCUGGUGUCCAUAGUGGUUGAAGUUGUCGGCGUUUUCAUCUUUAUGCAGUUGUUUAAGAUGGAAGAUGUGAGUAUGGGAAUGUGGGUAAAGCAAUUUAACAGAUCGAAACCGGUAAACUAUUUGCAUAGCUUCAAGUUCUGCCAAUAUGGUUGUGUAGAAGGCUAUUACACAGCCCAUUACCAAUCGCCUAGGCAGAUGAUAUGCCUGUGGGAUAAAUUGCAGAUGAAGACAACGCCUGAGUGCUGCAACAUGAGAUAACAUUGAGGUAUAGGUUGCCAUUGAAGUAAACAAGUUUUGCAGUCAUAGCUUAGCUUAAAUAUUGUAAAUAUAGUGGAGCUUGGAUAGUUAAAUGUAGCCCUGUAUAAAUGUGGCCCUUUAAAUUUCAUUGUUUAUUUAUUUAUUCAUUUGGAAGGACAAUUCCAUUAUUUAGAUUACUCGAUUUUGUUUCAGCAUGGGAGUGGGAUUGGAAGAUCAACGUGAGGGUGGGCGGGAACUAUGGGUAGGCGUAGGACCAUAGGUAUCGGGAACAUUUUCUUUUUUUGAGGGAGAGCAGGAACAUGUUAAAUAUAGAAGUUCUGUAUUUUUUUUAUAUUUUAUAUCUUAACUCUUUUUGAAAUUUUAUGCUUUAUCUCAUUUUCUAAAAUAUUAGUUUAAUCUGCAGUAAAAAUAAAAAAUAUUACUUUAAUCCUUAUUAUAUCUAUAAAACUGGGUUUUUCAAGUUUAGUGUUACUCGCAAUACCGAGUCCUGCCCCGGGGGUAUUUAUGUAAAACAAUGAAGUCUUGUUAUCUUCAUUAUUUUUAAAAAUAAGCUGUCAAAUAAAAUUAGCAACUAUGUAUUAUAACACAUUAAAAAAAAUUAGAGCCCAAUUAUGCAUGCAAUGAUACAAGUUAAAUGUUUUUUUUUUUGUUUUAAUCAAGACAUUUGAUUCAAGAUAAUUUAGUAAACUAAAGUAGGAAGAAUUAUGUCUGGGUUCACCAAAAACAUCAUAAACACCAGAAUAAAGAGAUUGCUCGUCGAUACAAUUCAGGUCAUUAACUUGUACUGCAUCAUCCACCUGUCCAAAAUUUGAACACAAAAAUAUUAAAAAAUGAAUAAGAACACAAUAGGAUUAUACUCCAACUGUAUCUUUCAUCUCCUUCCAACUGAGUAAAAUUGAUACUCCAAACAUCUCAAAUUAAACAGCAACGUUUAGGGAGUAAGCCAACGAAGUUGAAGAAGAUUCCAUAUACCAACCAAAUAAACUCACGAGAGGAACAAGUUGAUAUACAUAUUUUAUAUGAAGAAGUAGGUAACAAAAACGCGAGAGCAACAAAUCAACAAAGCAGAUCCAUUGGCUGAAGUAAUACAUAUGUAAGGAGAACGAAGUCUCAGAUAAUAUAAUAUAGAAGAUAAUGUAAUUUGAUAAGAUGGAUCAAAACCAAUUACAAGACUAGGAAAAUGCAUCAAAGCUCAUCUUCCAUCCUCAAGUACUCUCCCACAUCGGCCUGGUGCAGAACAACAAUCCCGUUGGGAUCCAGCUUCCUACAAUCCAGCGUGGACUUGGCGGCGACACCGAAACCCAACGGCACGUCGGCCAUGGAGAAGACGACAACCCCGUCACCGGCAGCGAUGUUUUCGGAGAGUUUCCCGAGAGCGCCCUUCAAGACAUGGUUGCCGUACAAGAAGGACAUCUCGGACUGGGGCUUGAGCCAGACCUUGUGCUUGGCGUUGGCGGCGAGCAAGUUGAGGGCCUGGACGGUGAGGUGGAAGCUGCCGCCGUGGGUGUAUUUCCCGAUGCAGGUGCCGAGGGAGACCAGGUUGGGGCGGGCGACGUUGGUGGCGCGCUUCACGAGGGACUCGCUGGCGUAGAAGAUCUUGUUCUUGUGGAGCCGGAAGCAGUAGCGCCCGGGGUUCGAAUCGGGACCUUCGUGCGAGGGGUUCUCCACGAUGUUCUUCAGGUUGUUUCCGACGAACUUGAACAGCUUCUCGAACACUGCGCUCGUCUCCUUCUCGUCCAAGGGUCUCAUCCUUCCUCCUCCUCCUUCUAGGGUUUUACACCGCAAUUAGGGUUUUACAACAGAAAAGGGUGAGUUGAAAACUUUAGAUGAAAAGAGUCGAAAUAAUAGUACUAAGGCCCAAGUCUAAGAAAUACGGGCCUCGUGAGCACAAGCCCACUAUAAAACAAUUCGGCAGGAGCUGGGCACUUGCUAUUUACAUUUCCCCGUUUAUCUAAGUACACCCCCAUGCCUCCUUUCUGCCUCUUAAAUAUCCAUUAUACCCUUUUUCUUAUUUUCUCUUCUUUCACGCAUAUUCUUUUUGGAAACGUUGUCCCGUAGUUCCGGUGACGACGUUCCUUGGAUCUUCUCACUCGCAGGGACAUGUAUGUGAGCAAAUAUAAUUUUCCACGUGCUAGAAACUUGAAACAGGAUUCUGAAUUGAAUUGGAAACUUGAAAGUGUGGCGGCAGGUAUGAGGCAUCACAUGGGCAUUACUGUGGAGUGUGAAGAGAUUCUGCUGAACUGUAAAAUUGACAUUGUUAGGGACAUAUCACACAUAGAACAGCAAUUAAUGUUCAAUUUGAUUUUUUUUCUUUCCGCCAAAUAAAUAUUCUCUUCAGUCUUUUUUCAUUUAAUUUAAAAUAUUUUUUCUACACAGUUAAUGAAAGCAGCAGAUUUCUUCACCCUCAAGAAAAUUACCGUUACUGAGUUACAUUAUCUAAUUUUCUUUCUUAAAUUACAAGUUAAGGCUUAUAUUGGAUUCACUAUUAGAUGUCCUGGAAUGUUGUCGAUAAUAUUCAACAGAAUCCUACUCUCUUUAAAUCCAACUUUAAUAUUUGUAUUUUCUCUGGGCUAAUUAAUUACCACCCUGUUUUGUUUUGUUUUGUAUUAUUAUUAUUAUUAUUAUUAUUAUUAUUAUUACAGUAUAUGCCGCUAAAUCUAAAAUGUAAGGCAUCUUUGUAUUGCCGUUGGAUUUGCGACUCUGUGAAUCCAAUGCUUCUUCACCGCAAAAGUAAUAAAGGGAAUGCUUUUAGAGGGUUAAUUACAGAAAUAGGUCCUUUUCUAAAUUUUUUUUAUCAUCAUGGGAAUUUUUUAAAAAAAAUUACAAAAAUAGAUAAUUUUUUUUAAUAAAAUUACGGAAAUGGGUAAAUGAUAUACGAUUUCAUAAAAUAUGAUUUCACUUUUUAAUCGUUUAAAAUAUCUUUUUCUCUAAGAAACUAGAAUUGUAUGUUAAACUACAAUUUCAAUUUUUUUUUACUGAAAUCGUAUGUUGAAAGACGAUCUCAACUUUUUUAUUUUUUUAUUUUUUCUAAAAAAUUAAAAAAAAGGAUUUCAAAAUUUUUCUACGGAAAUUAUAUCUUGAAAUAUGAUUUCAAUUUUAUUUUAUUUUUUCUAAAAUAAUUAAAGAAAACAAAAACAUGUUGAAAUCAUGCCUUAAUACAUAAUUUCAACUUUUAAUAAUAAAAAAACUGAAAUCAUAUGAAAAUAUACGAUUUUAUUGUAAAUGUUUUCUGUAAAGUAAAAUCGUGUUUUGAAGCAUGUUUUUGUCAAAGCUUAGUUUACUCAUUUUGGUAUUUUUUUUAAAAAAUUAUUCGUUUUUGUAAUUUUUUAAAAAAGAUACACCAUAAUGCUGCAAGAGCCGCUUUUAGAAAUAUAUGUUAGUGUUGCCUAUUCAACAAUUCAAACAUGUGCAUAAUAGAAGCUAUUUAAGUUAAACCCUCCACUAUUACGUGCAUAUUUGAAUAAUUAUUUAAGAAGUACAUAUACGUGUUAUUUUUUUAGGAAAGAUACUCUAUAUUUUUGUGCUGAAAAUAUUUUUAAAAGGGGCAGAAAUCCAUACUAUACUUGAGUGGAUUAACUCGUUUUGUUUUUGAAGUGAAAACUUAUUCGACCGGGGAAAUAGAAUACGAUUCUGACUUGUGAUUUUUUUUUUCUUUUUGUUUUAUUAAUAGAGAUUGAAGAGAGAAAAAAUAAGUUUAUAAUACUCACACAUUAUACUUAAUUAACUAAACUAAAUUUUCUUAGUAAAUUCUUUUCUUUUUAAUAAGGAGUGUUUCUAAUAUUUUAUUUAGGAGUAUUUAUGGGUGGAUUUAUCCAUAACCCAACCUAAUUAUACUAUGAUUUGAAUUUUAAAAAUACUUAAAAUACAUCUAAUUCAACUUAAUAUAAAUCUAAUUAUAUUGGAUUGGAUAAUUAAUCCGGAGUUCAACUUUGACCAGAUCAUAUAAUAAUAAAAAAUUUAAAAAUAUUAAUGUUAUUAAUAAGAAUAUAAUAAAGUAAAAAAUAAAAAGAUUUCUUUAUGCAAUAAAUUUAUAUAUUCUAUGUAAUUAUAUUGUAUAAUUUAAAGAAAAUUAUUUUUAAAAAAUCCUUCUUUGUGAAAUUUUUAGUUUUUAAAUUUUAUGUUCCAAUUGAUCCUACGGAUCAUAAUCGGAUUGGGUUAAAUUGAGUUAAACAACAAAAUUACUAGAAUGUGACUCAAUCCAAUCUGAGAUUUUUUAAUUGAAUUGGAUGAUAGAUUUUUUCAAAUCUAAUUUGACCCACCUAACUUAUCAGACCGGAUGUACAUAUGUGGCGAGAAAGAGGAAACGUAAGUACGAAAAGAAUUACUCCAGAGUCACUAAUUUGAUGACCUCAAGGUUCUUUGCAUCAUUAUAAUAAUAAGUGAAUACUCCGUCACACAUUUUAGACCCAGGUUAAACAAUGAAUGUAAUUUUAUAAUAAUCGCAGUGGAAAAUAGUAAAACUGGAUAAGAAACAAACAUCUAACAUGGAUCUAAUUUGGAAAAACAUUAGUGAGGUAACUUUAUUAACUUGAAAUAUGCUUGUAAUUGUGUUAUGUUUCAACAACUUGAGGAAAAUGACAAGAAACUGCAUCAAACAAUGAGAAAGAGACACAACACACAAGUACUUGGAAAUUUUAAGUAUAGUGAGCAUGAGAAGGACCCCAUUAUGCGUAUGUUGAGAAGCCCGUCAUCUCCAUUGACAGGCAAGUAGCAACUUCAAUAGAGCGUUUAAUUUUCACUAGUCAUGCGCAAAAACACCCUUUCAUAGAUAGGGGGCCACAUUUUUUUUUGUUAUGUAUUUGCUAAGUGAGUAAUGAUAUAUAAACGAUCUUUUACUUUUUGGUUUAGAUUAUAUAUAUUUUUCAUUGGAUAUAAUAUUGUUUGAGUCAAGUAAUACUAUUAUGCAUAAUAAAAAAAUUUCUUCAAAUAUUUAAAACAACUAUACACAAUUGUACAAGAUUCAAAUUACCUUUUAUUUUAAAUGUCCUACUAACACUUCUUAUUUAUUUAUAUCUCUAUCAUUCUAUUACAUCUAAAUCAUAUUAUACCUAUCAUUUUUUUCUCUUUUUUUACUUUCUCUUUUUAAGUGUUAGAUAACACAUUGAAUUUGAUGUGUAUCAAACGUUUUCUUUUGCUCAGUUCCAGUCUUUCGGAGCCUUUUCUUUGCCUUGCAGUGUCCAAUGAGACACAACAUACCGUGAAUCAGCUAAUAAUUUUUAGGCUCUUGGACCACCUUCCACAUAGUCCCACCAAAUCAAAAAACACUUAGUGGAACCAAAUAUUCUAUCUCACUUGUCCUUUUCCCAUUUUAAUAAUACUCCACACCGCCUUCGGUAGUGUCAUUUGACUCAUUUUGGUUAUAAACACUGUCCAUUCUCCUCUUUCUCAAUUCUCAAAUAUCAAUUCUCAUCCCUACCCACUCACUAUCUCACACUGCUUUUUUAGUGUUUUUUUUUCUUCUUUUCCCUUGGUUUUUGAUAACACACUCACCCCACAAAAGAGUUGAUCAAAAUAUACCACCAUGAAGAUGAGUGAGAUGUGGGCAACAAUGGGGUCAACCUUAGCCAGCUUCAUGUUCUUGUGGACGAUCAUGAGGCAGUACUGUCCCUACGGUGUUCAACGUUUCUUCGAGAAGUACACACACAGGAUCAUGAGUUACUUCUACCCCUACAUUAGAAUCUCCUUUCAUGAGUACAUGGGAGACAGGUUGAAGCGAAGUGAGGCCUAUGCAGCUGUGGAGGCAUACCUCAGUGCCAACACAUCAAAGAGUGCCAAAAGGCUCAAAGCUGAAAUGGGAAAAGAUAGCAGCAACUUGGUUUUGACCAUGGAUGAAUACGAAAGAGUAACAGAUGAUUAUGAUGGUGUGAAAGUUUGGUGGGUCUCUAACAAAGUUAUGUCACCAACAAGGUCCCCAAUGUCUUAUUAUCCAGAACAGGAGAAAAGGUUCUACAAGCUCACUUUUCACAGCAAGAAUAGGGACACAAUAACAGAGUCCUAUUUGAAGCAUGUGAUGAGGGAAGGGAAGGAGAUUCGUUUGAGGAACAGGCAGAGGAAGUUGUAUACUAAUAGUCCCGGCUACAAGUGGCCAAGUUACAAGCAAACGAUGUGGAGCCACAUUGUGUUUGAGCACCCUGCAACUUUUGACACAAUGGCCAUGGAGCCUGAGAAGAAAAAAGAGAUCAUUGAGGAUUUGGUCACUUUCAGCAAGAGCAAGGAUUUCUAUGCAAGAAUUGGGAAGGCUUGGAAGAGGGGUUACCUUCUCUACGGCCCUCCAGGGACCGGAAAGUCCACGAUGAUCGCGGCUAUGGCGAAUUUGCUGGCCUAUGAUGUCUAUGACUUGGAGCUGACAGCAGUGAAGGACAACACCGAGCUGAGGAAGCUUCUGAUUGAGACAACAAGUAAGUCCAUAAUUGUAAUUGAGGACAUUGAUUGCUCUCUUGAUCUUACAGGGCAGAGGAAGAAGAAGGGCGAUAAGUCCUCGUGGGACGAGGACGAGGCCGAGAAGGAUGUUAUUGGAAGGAAAGAGGCCAAGGAGGAAGGAGGGAGUAGUGGCUGCAGCAAAGUCACACUCUCAGGGCUUUUGAAUUUCAUUGAUGGGAUUUGGUCUGCUUGUGGAGGGGAGAGGUUGAUUGUGUUCACAACCAAUUAUGUGGAGAAGCUUGAUCCUGCUCUCAUUAGAAGGGGGAGAAUGGACAAGCAUAUUCAGCUCUCUUAUUGCACCUUUGAUGGCUUUAAAGUUCUCGCGAAUAACUACUUGAAGCUUGAGACUCAUCCAUUGUUUGACACCAUUGAGAGCCUUAUUGGGGAGGUUAAGAUCACCCCAGCUGAUGUUGCUGAAAACCUUAUGCCUAAGUCUCCACUGGAUGAUCCUCACAAGUGUCUCUCAAACUUGAUUGAAGCACUUGAGGAAGCUGCAAAAGCAGAGGAGAUGAAGCAGAGGAGUAGUCACAUUAAGGAGGAGCUUCUUCAACAAAAUGGGUCCAUUAAGGAAAAUGGUGAGCUUCAUGGUGACAAAGCAAUGAAUCAGUGCCAGAUCUGGCUCGUUAAUGAUACAUAAUGUUUGUGUACACUAUUAUGAAUCUAUGUUAGUCAACUCCAUGAGAUGAUUAAAAAAGGGAGGGGUUAUCUACUUCAAAACGCUCUCUGGUUUUUGGUUCAGAUUGUAAUUUAGCGUCUGAAAUCUUUGGUACCCAACUAAAUCCUCCUACUUUUGGAAUUAAUUUUGAACUUGUAUUAGAGAGUUGAUGAAAUUUAUUGUUAUUGGGAUAGGUCCCUCCCUAAUUGUUCUUUUUUCCCUUGAAACAAUUUGCUGUUGUGGCUCCAAAAUUGCGACAUAAAUAUAAUAUUAAUGUUUCUGUUGCACGCCGUAUAAACAAAACUUAGUUUCAUCAUGUUUUGUAUGAACAUAACGGAACCUUAUGUUAUGUGGGUUAUUGCUGAAUUUUGUUUCUGUUAGGCUCGGAUGUAAACCUUAGGAACCAUGAUUGAGAGAAAAACAGAGAGAAGAGAGCUCAAGUUAACGUGGAAGAAGGAAUAUUAGUGUCGCUUGUAAACGGAAAAGCACCUUUUUCUUCUUCUUCUUCUAUGCUUAAAGUGAAAAAUAAGGAAAAUGUAAUUUAUAAAAAUUAAAGUUUAAUGUAAAAAUUAAAAAUAAUUAAUAAUUCAAAUUUUCAAAGUAAAUUAUAUCAAAUAAGGUGAAACAAAAAUAAAGAGUACAAUAUAAAAAUAUUCCCACUCUGAAAAAUAAAGAUCUAGGAAUAUAUUCAAAAGACAAGUAUAAGAAUCCUAAAAAUAACUUGUAUGGUCAUUUCACAGUUCUCAUUUCGAUUUUGUUUUUAUCUAGUAUUAGAUUCCCUCGUGAAUUGAAGUGUGUAAAGCGAUUGUUAACCAACAAAUUUCUAAUACAUGUAAUAUUUAUAUAACCAUUCCAACAGUGUCCUAGAAAAAUAGUAUCUUAGGUAAAAACAACACACGCAUUGCCAUUUAAAAGAAAGAAUUUAUAUUAGACUUGGGUACUUACAAUAAUCUGUUAAGAAAAUAUAGCAUCACGUUGUUGUUGAUUGUGUAUUAAAAUUGAAAGCGACCUAUAAGAACAUUUGAAUCUAAUAAAAAUUUAUCAUUAGAAUAAUCAAUUUAAAACAUUGAGUUUAAUUUUGAUAUAUUGUUGUUGUGAUGAUUUUUAUAUUUUUAAUAAAUUAGAAAUUAAUUUAAAUAUAACUUUUAACAUAAUUAGUAUAAAAGUUAAUAAUAUUACCACUAUCAUAAUUUAUGCUUUGAUGAUGUUAUGUUUCAUGUAUAGUUAAUUUUGACUGAACUCUGCAAAUAUUUUGUUGAUCGAGAUUUAAAAUACAUCGAUGGUGACAUUUCACUUUGAUGUGAUUGGGAUGUGGUGAAUACCAUAAAUCCCUGCAAGACACUCUCGAGUACCAGAGUAAUGAUAUC
RNAcentral lists this long non-coding RNA (72005 nucleotides) under Glycine max (soybean). RNAcentral's name for it is "long non-coding RNA (GMAX_LNC003846)". Lineage: Eukaryota; Viridiplantae; Streptophyta; Magnoliopsida; Fabales; Fabaceae. The record is from RNAcentral.